RNAcentral lists this long non-coding RNA (85250 nucleotides) under Ananas comosus (pineapple). RNAcentral describes it as "long non-coding RNA (ACOM_LNC022076)". Lineage: Eukaryota; Viridiplantae; Streptophyta; Magnoliopsida; Poales; Bromeliaceae. The record is from RNAcentral.
GUAGAGGUGUAUAUAUAUAUAUAUAUAUAUAUAGAGAGAGAGAGAGAGAGAGAGAGAGAGAAUUAGGCUACUAUGCUAUUAAUAGCACCAAGUUAUUCGUGCUACCAAGUUUUUGGACAUUGGAUUAAGAGAUGUGUGGUUAGGAUUAUGUGGGCCCCUAGGGUUGAGUGGGUGGUUGGCUCAAUAGUAUGAUCUAACGGGUAAAAAUGAUCAAAAUAGUAUAUCUAACGGCGGAAAACUUAGUAGCACCAAAUGCUUCGUGCUAUUAAUACCAUAGUAGCUGGACUAUAUAUAUAUAUAUAUAGAGUGAGGCUACUAUGCUAUCGGAAGCACGGAGCCUUCCGUGCUUCCAGCUCAUUUUCGAUGUUGCGACUUUCGAAUCGUCGAUCGGCUCCGUUAAACUUGAUCUAGAGUAUUUGAAGUACCUAGAAAAUAAAUUUUAUGAUUUUACGAUAUCAUUGCCUAGUGAACGAAGGGGCUUAAAAUCAACGGCUGAAAAUAAAAAUCUUACAAAAUGUGAUAAUAUGACAUUAAAAUUUUAAAUCAAAGAUAUUGAUCUUGUUUUAUAUAGUAUAAAGAAUUUUCUAUCAAAAUUUCAUGCGAUUUGGAUAUUUCUACACCGUUAAACUUGCAAACGGCUCACUACGAUCAUUGAAAUUUGUUGAUUUUGAGCCCAUUCGAUCACUAGGCAAAUGAUAUCGAAAAAUAAUAAAAUUUAUUUUCUAGAUACUUCAAAUAUUUUAGAUCAAAUUUAACGGAGCCGAUCGACAAUUCAAAAGUCGCAACAUCGAAAACGAACUGAAAGCACGGAAGGCUCCGUGCUUCCGAUAGCAUAGUAGCCUCACUCUCUCUAUAUAUUUAUAUAUAUAAUUGAGCUAGAAUACUUUUACAAGUAUUACCCCCAUGAUGCUAUUAGGUUUUUAGCCAUUGGAUCUACUUCUUGAUUACUAAUAGNNNNNNNNNNNNNNNNNNNNNNNNNNNNNNNNNNNNNNNNNNNNNNNNNNNNNNNNNNNNNNNNNNNNNNNNNNNNNNNNNNNNNNNNNNNNNNNNNNNNAGAGAGAGAGAGAGAGAGAGAGAGAGAGCGCUAGGCUCCUAUGCUUUCGAAAGUACGAAAGCCUCCGUACUUAUAAGUUGUUUUCCAUAAUGGGACAUCCGAUUCGGCGAUCAGUUCCAUUAGAAAUGAUCUACGCUAUUAGAACUACCUAGAAACCAAAUUUCAUAAUUUUUUGACUUCAUUUGUAUAGUAAACGAGUAGCCUUAAAAUGAACGGCUGAAAAUAAAAAUCUCAUAAAAAAUAAUGAUAAAAAACUCAAAUUUCAAAUCGGAAGUAUUGGACUUGCUAUUGAUGUUAAGUAGAAUUUUUUAUUAAAUUUUCAUCUAAUUUGGAUACUUCUACACCGUUGAACUUAAAAACGUGUCACAUCGGCCGUUAAAAUAGUCAUUUUUAAGACCUUUUGAUCGCUUAGUAAAUGAUGUCAAAAAAUUAUAAAAUUUGGUUUCUAAAUAGUUCCAAUAGGGUAAAUUAUACUUAACGGAACCGAUCGCCGAAUCGGAUUUCCUAUCAUCGAAAACAACUUACAAGCACGGAGGUCGCCGUACUUUCGAAAGUACAGGAGACUUACUCUCUAUAUAUAUACUAGUAGAGUGCACGUGCAAUGCACGUCACAUAUUUAAAAAAAUAAAAAAUAUUUUUUUCAAAAUAAUUAAGAUAAGACAUGAUUGAUAUGUAAUGUAUAAUUUUUAAAUAAAUUAUUAAUGAAUAUUUAUAAUUUAAUAAUUUUAUUAUAUUUGCAUAAGAUAGUAAAAAAAAAUUAUUUCCAAUUGAAUAUUUAGAUAAAUUAAAUUUUAGAUCUCGGCAUCUGGCUAUAAAAAAUUUUCUUUUAUAUUACUUAUAAAAGAGCCACUUUUUUAGGACAAAAAAUGAUAUUUAUACCUGAAAUUCCUUUAAUUUUAUAAAUCAUGCUAAAAAUGAUUUAAGUCGAGCAAACUUUUUAUAUAAAAAAUAAUUUAGGCUAUAUCAUUCAUACUAUUUUAUUUUGCAUUCAAAAACUUUUAUUUUGCAUUCAAACGUGGAAUCAAGUGCUUCUUAAAACUUAGAAAAGUCUGUGCCAAGAUUAACCGGCGUCGAUCGAUGAAUCAUGAUCAUAAUCGAUAUGAACCCAAUUAUGAAAGUUAGGGACAUAAUAGUUAAAAAAAAAAGAUUAGGGACUAUAAACUGAACAAAAAAAAAAAGAGUAAAGUUUAGGAACUGUUGGUCUGAUUAAUCCUAAAGUAAUUAAGUCCUUAAAAUAAAAUUUUUCGAUAGUAUCGAAUUUGAAGUUUAUCUUAAUAUGAUCAUACAAUAAAAAUAUUUGAAUAAGGGCGAUGAAAUAUAUAACCCAAUGGAGAAUUUUGUGCAAGAAUAAAAAUUGAUUUAAAUAUAUAAUUAAUAAAUUUAAGUCUACAGGUUGCUACAAUAUUUCACAUGAAAAAAAUUUCAAAAACUUACUAAAAUCUAAUUUUUAUAUACGUAUUUGAGUACAAUUAAAUUCAAAUAGAUUUUAAGGGUGUGCUAGGUUCGUCGGAAAAGUGUAAAAAACUAUUUUUCCAACAAAAAUUUUUUAAAUUCAAAAAAUUAUUUUCAUAAUUUUUAUUUUUCAAAUAAAAAAACAGAAAACUGAAAAAAGGAGACUCUUUUAAUGAAAUCUGAGAAAAAAUUUUUAGAAAAAUUAUUUUUUAAAAAAUCUAAACGGACGAAAAUAUUAUUUUUAAUUAGAAAGUUAUUUUUUAAAAUGUUUUCUGGAAAAUCAGACCCCUCCUUAAUGUAGGUGUUUUCUAAUGUUGGAUUUAAUAUUUUAUUACAUCCAUAAGGACCAGAGUAACAACCUAAUCCCAACAAAUCAAUAGAUAUAUUAAAAUUUGAGUUUUCAUGAGAGGGUUACGUGUUGUGUACUUCAUUUCUCACGAUUCGUUUGUCCGCCUCGCCUCCUUCCCCCUCUAGAUCGUCUCAAAUCUGCCGAGUGCUGUGGCAUAUACCAUGUCGCACACCUAACUUCUGCAUAUCCCGCGGGGCGUGGAGGGUUAUCGCACUGUACUAUAACGUUCUUCCCCUCCGUAAGAACACCUACUUUACCCAAUUAUUAUUAUUUUUCAAGUACAAGUGUACAACAUAAUGACUAGGUAUUACUACUUGGAAAGAACUAAACUUUAGUGAGGUGGGGCGUAACACAAUUUUAUUGGCGUAUUGAAGUACUUAAAUGGCACUUUAAAUUGUGUUCAUAAAGCUGGUUCUUCGCACGGCUCUGUUUAUUUCGCCAAAGAUAAAAUUUAGAUUAAAGUAAAUUUUUGGAUGAACUUAAGUUUAAGUAAAAAGAAAAAUUCUUCUGUUGUUUCUUUAUAUAUUUGUGUUAGUGAAGUUCUUUCAAUUUGAUUAUUUGUUUGGCAUAAAAUGAAUAACGUAAAAAAAGGAUGCGUGAGAGAUAAAUUAAUAUUUCGUUUAUUUUUUUUUUUACUUAUAAUUGACUUUAGAAUGGACUUUAGUAUGAGGUGGGGGCGAAAUCAAUUAUACUAUUUUGGAGAGUUUAAGUUUCAACCAGAGUAAAGAUACGGUGAACCAAACAACGGAAUUAUACAUUUUUAAAAAAAUCACUUUAUUUCUCUGCAUUUUUAGUGAAACAAAUACCCUCAAGAUUUGUAGCAAUACUUAUUUGUAAAUCCAAGUGCGUUACAUGUAACUUUUGAAAUAGAUUCUUCAAAAAUCAAUGACCAGAUUUUGCUUAGUAAAAAUAAAUUUGGUUGAAGUAAGUUUGUAAGUUUUCACAGCAAGCUCUAAUUUGAAAUUUUCAAUUUUUCUAUGUUAAGAAUCUAACAAAUUUUAACGACAAAAACAGUUGCUGCUUUUUUAAAAGAAAAACUUCAUACAAUAACUAUUUCUGCUAUCUUGUUAAAACAAAACACGGAAAAUAAAUCCAAAAAAAAUUAGUGCAAAAAUAUAUAUGUAUAAAAAUUAUAUAAUUCGGUCACUGAUUUAUAUCCAAAAUUUUAUUGUAAUAUUGAAGGUAGAGUAUAAAUUUCCGAAAAACGCGUUGGUGUGGUGGGACCCAAUGCUCGGCUCUUUAUCACGCAACACCCACAAUACACGGUAGCUGCGUGCCUGCCUUUGGUUUCGGCAUAAAUAAAAACGGUCUAUUUCAGAGAUAGAUGUAAGUUCAGAUAUAGAUAAAAAUUAAACAAAUUUUGCAUUUGGAUGAAAAUUGAAUUGUUUCUAAGAAUAAGAUAAAUAGUGUUUGAAUGGUUAGAUUAGAACAAGAGGAAUAAGAAUUAUAAUUUUAAAUUAAAAUUAUUUUAUCUAAUUAAUUAACAUCAAAAUAUUACUUAAAAAUAAUUUAAUAAAUUAAUAAAUUUAUUAGCUAUAAAUAUUGUAUAAGAUAAUAAAAAUAUAUUAAUUAAGUAAUUAAUUAAUUAUAAAAAAUAAUUUAACUUUUUACUUAGUUAGUAAAUUAUUUUAGCUAGAUAACAAGUAAAAUAAUUAAUUAGAUUAAUAAAAAUAUUAAUGGUUAAUCAAUAAAUAAAUAUUAGUUUAUGAAUAAAUACACUAAAUUAUUAAUAAUUAAUUAUAAAUGAUAAAUUAAUUAAUUAUUUUAUUAUUUAAAUAAUAAAUAAUAAUUUAAAUAUAUUAAUUAGAUUAAUUACUAAUUUAAUUCCAUAAUUAAAAUUAAAUUAGACUUUAAUUAAUCUUAUUUUCAGCUGGGAACAAAGCUUGUUCCCAGAAAAAGGGUGGAACAGCAGUUCCAAACUUAUACCAGCUUAUUCCAGAAAUAUGAGAACUACUGUUCUCAGAUAGCAAACACGACGGUUGGGAAUAAAGGGGGGGAAUAAGAGCUUAUUUGCUUUUUGUUCCCGAACCAAACACUGUCCUUGGGUUUACCUUAAAAUGAAAAUUAAAAAAAAAACAUCUUGGGUUGAAUUAAUUAAUUCUGUUUUCUCGUUUUAAUUAGAGCACCGGUGAGUUAGGAACUCAUGUUAGAACUGACUCGUAUUUGUUCAUUUAUUUAAUGAGUCGAACACGAGUUAGCUCAUUAAAAUAUCGAGCUAAAAAAUUCAGUUCGUAUUCGACUUAUUUAUUACUAGCCGAGUAUCAUACACUAUAUAUAAAGCAUAGCUUCCAAUUUAAAGUAUAAUUAGACUGGUAGUUUAAUUGAAUUUCUAGUUACACUCUAUAUAAAUUUAAAUCUCCUCUUAUUCUAAGUAAAUUAGAAUUUGACUUACAAAUUUAAACAAAAAAUCUAACAUAUCUUUAGAAGCUCUAACUAGCUUGGUACUUAAGAAAAAGCCAAAGAAUAUUCCCACUUUUGCUGUAUUUGUGGUCCCUCUUUACAUUUUGGCUUUAUGCCUCUAUUGUUUGCUCAAAUUAAGUUUCCCUUAACUUUAUGCCCAUAGUAUUUGUUCUUUACUUUUGAUUUUUUAUAUAGAGUUUUAUCUUUAUCCCUAGAAUGAAUCUCUGUUUCAGGUCUUUCAACCAAUCAAUACGACCUCAUAGAUGAGAUUUUGCUAAAACUCGAUUGAUUUCUUGAAAACUUGCUUCUGAUACAAAACUUUAAGUAUUCAGAGACGCCCUAUUUAUAACUUCUAAAUCAUAACAUUAAAUUGUUUCCCUAGUGAGAAAUACUUUUGACCCAUUAUGCAGUACCUCCUCCAACACUCUAUCCACAAAAAUCAACUUCAACUUAUUAUUAGAANNNNNNNNNNNNNNNNNNNNNNNNNNNNNNNNNNNNNNNNNNNNNNNNNNNNNNNNNNNNNNNNNNNNNNNNNNNNNNNNNNNNNNNNNNNNNNNNNNNNNNNNNNNNNNNNNNNNNNNNNNNNNNNNNNNNNNNNNNNNNNNNNNNNNNNNNNNNNNNNNNNNNNNNNNNNNNNNNNNNNNNNNNNNNNNNNNNNNNNNNNNNNNNNNNNNNNNNNNNNNNNNNNNNNNNNNNNNNNNNNNNNNNNNNNNNNNNNNNNNNNNNNNNNNNNNNNNNNNNNNNNNNNNNNNNNNNNNNNNNNNNNNNNNNNNNNNNNNNNNNNNNNNNNNNNNNNNNNNNNNNNNNNNNNNNNNNNNNNNNNNNNNNNNNNNNNNNNNNNNNNNNNNNNNNNNNNNNNNNNNNNNNNNNNNNNNNNNNNNNNNNNNNNNNNNNNNNNNNNNNNNNNNNNNNNNNNNNNNNNNNNNNNNNNNNNNNNNNNNNNNNNNNNNNNNNNNNNNNNNNNNNNNNNNNNNNNNNNNNNNNNNNNNNNNNNNNNNNNNNNNNNNNNNNNNNNNNNNNNNNNNNNNNNNNNNNNNNNNNNNNNNNNNNNNNNNNNNNNNNNNNNNNNNNNNNNNNNNNNNNNNNNNNNNNNNNNNNNNNNNNNNNNNNNNNNNNNNNNNNNNNNNNNNNNNNNNNNNNNNNNNNNNNNNNNNNNNNNNNNNNNNNNNNNNNNNNNNNNNNNNNNNNNNNNNNNNNNNNNNNNNNNNNNNNNNNNNNNNNNNNNNNNNNNNNNNNNNNNNNNNNNNNNNNNNNNNNNNNNNNNNNNNNNNNNNNNNNNNNNNNNNNNNNNNNNNNNNNNNNNNNNNNNNNNNNNNNNNNNNNNNNNNNNAGCGUAGGCAGUCCGGGCUCCCACCUCCUAUUGGUCACCCCGGCUGCCCCUUUUGUUUAGCCUUCCCCGGGUGUGAUCUACCGUCCUUUUCCAACCCCUACCUUUAACUUUCGGCUUCAAGCUAUCCGGGAUCUCUCAAUCAUGGUUGCGGGUCGGGUUCUUACCGCACUCGUCAGAAGUGUGAGGAGAGUGACGGAUCAGGUGGUUGGCUGCCCGGGCCCUUCGUUUUUCUUGGUCCCCCCGGGUUCUUGGCUUUUCUAGGUCGUAUUCUCUAUUUCUCUCCGGGGGUGGCUUUGGGCUGGUUACCGGGUCUAGGUACACCCGGACCAUCCGGGGAGGAGAGUCGUACGUCUGUUAGGGGGCUCAGCUCGGGUUUUGGCCUUGGGCAACUGAGGUUCCUAUUCUGGCUCACCCAGGUGACGAACUCCUCUGUUAGCCAGCCGGGCACCGAGCUCCCCCUACUCGUUUAGAACCUUAAUUUCGACGGCGUGAAGAGGGUCCACUUCUAUAAUAACGCCAUUCGGAAGAACCGAAAAGGAAAAACGAGGCCCAAGGUUACGUUUUCGGAGCUUCGUACUUUUUUUAGAAAAGGACAACCGAGGCUUAUUUUUGGUGGACGGCGUUACUACGAUGCCGGGGGGAGGUGCAGUCCAGACUGUAAAUUACGUUGCAGAUGAAGUCUCCUUAAGCUUAAGGGCAGGCAACGUGGGGCGGAAGGCCGCUAGCGGCCUGGUAAGCACCAGUUUAGGCGGAGUUCGACUAGGAAGUACCAGCUAAAGAGGAGCUCGGCUGGGAAGCUCCGGCUUAGGAGGAGUUCGACGGCCAACCUCAGCCGGCCCCAGCCCCCCUUUAAGGCAGCAUCUCCUGUUAGUCCUCUGCCUGGUCGGGAAGCGGACAGGGCCUAAAGCCUGCUUAAGGUUCUACGUAGCCACGAUCUUCUCGGCGGCCGACUACUAGCAGCAGGAGAACGCCUAGGUCGACUCGCCGCUACUCCGGGUCCCAGAGAGCUGUCCCCCAGCACGACUAGGCAGGAGAGUAAGCCACCCAACGGACCCUGCUGCCGCAGUGCCGCCGGGGUAGAGAGCUCGACCUAUUCGUGGCUUUCGCUCUUCAGGGGGUGGCACUAAAGGUUCAAAAGGCCAUACAGCCUCUCCACCAAUUGCCUCUGCUCCGUGGCCAUAGGACAUUCUAGGUGGUACGCUUAGCUCAUCAGUAGGCCGGCAUUCUUUGCCGGCUUCGGUGGCUGGUCGCGGCGGUGGCAUGCUCUUCUGGUUGUGAGCAUUCCAUUCGAAUGCUCAGCCUAGGUGUGCAACAUCCAAUCGCUACGGGAAGCUUGUGGUAUUAUUCCUAAGGUCCAUAUUGUGACCUCGGACUCUAGUAGGUCGCUAUCUUAGAGUGCUGCCUAUUCAACCAGGCGGCCGUGGGUGAGGCCGUCCUUUUAGUCUUUUAGUGCAACCGAUAUGAACCGCUGCACUUUUAGUCUGCCCUUGGGUGGCUUCGCCGAGCGGUCGGCCAAUCGAUAGCAGAGGACACCUUUCACUGGGUUUAAGAAUCCGCCCUCAUGCAGCUGGUCCUACCGCAACGCUGUCACUAAAACAGACCACAUCUUCAGCAGACAAACACCCUGUUUGCGCGACUCUAUCCUACCAGACCGGGCGUAGCGGGACAUUUGGCGGUAGCCGUUGGCCAGGUACGUUCUAGAACGUUGCACCGGACAGAACUUCGUGGCGUGUGUGGCCUCCCCGGGAGCCGUUGACCUGCGGGUCACUAACCAUGGGUCUGUGGACAUCGUGGAGGGGGACUUCCUUCAGAAUGGUCCCUUACGCUUCCACCCCUACCCUUACCGUGAGGCAACCGCCGCUCCCAUGCCGCAGUCACACCCUUAUCCCCACUCCUCACGGAGGAACAUUCAGAAGAAAUAUGGUCUUCACUUCUCACCAAACAGGACGGGGAGCGGGCUCUGUAGGGAGAAGGACAGCAGUAAUCAGCUGCACAGCGACCUAGCACAACUCCCCCGCUUUAGGUGUCCCACUUUCUCUCAUUGGAAUCAAUUUCGAUCGGGUGGGAGUAGUCGGGUGUACUGGAAGAACCUUCUCCGUCUCCGUCUCAUUUACAGGAGUAAUUGAGGUACGAGAUAUCUUCUCCGUCUCAUCCACAGGUGUAAUUGAGCUUCGAGGAGCCUGCUGCAACAAGCCACUCCGGACGGAGCUUCCGAUUUUCGGCGCUCAAGCCAACUACCCGUCCACCUGCUGCAGCUGCCUCGGACGAAGAGCGCACGACCGCAGAAGGAAACGGUUUCUAAUCAUCCUCGACCCAGAAGAAAUUAGAAGAGACAGAAAAAGAGGAAAUCGUGUAGUGGUUGAGAGAGAAAAGGAAAAGGGAAUAGGAAAGCUUGAUAGAGAAAAGGCCUUCGUCCUAAAGGAAAGAAGAAGAGACAGAAGAAGAAGAGACAGAAGAAGAGACAGAAGAGACAGAAGAAGAGGUAGACAGAAGAGAAGUGCCAAGUUCAAAUAGACUAUGUUGAUAACGAAGAUUAUUAUUCAACUUCAACUAAAAACACCUAUCUCACAACCUCCUCCAUGACGUAUUACCCAGUUUUCAUAAAGAGUGAUCCCUUUGUUAAAUUACAAUACUAAAUCUUCAAUAUUUAUCCCGCAGAGACUUAUGAAUUUCAAAACAUAGUCUUCGUUCAAAAGUUCUUUAGUUAGCUCAAAAUCGUUUUAGAGUAGAUACUCCAGCAUAACUAACCAACUUUCUGGACUUUGUCUCUAAGUAAGAUCCCUAUUUCUAUUUUGAGAUAUAUUUUUUAGUUUUCAUUUCUUGUUUAUGAUACCCGUAUUUCAAUUCCCUUUGAAUUAAACUCGUUUGUUAUCUCCGUAUUUCGGUUUUACAUUUCUCCCUGGUGUUUAUGUCGUUUUCACCCUUAUAAGAAACCGAAAAAGAAUUCAUGGUUCGAUCAAUCUCGAAGAUUUCUAUACAAUCUAAAAAACAAAUUUAAACAUUCAGUUUAAGAUUAAAUGAAUCUUAUUCUCCUCUAAAUUUAAAUAUAUCUCACAUUGAUCUUUAAGUUAAUUUGAUGGUCAGAUUAAUAUGAAAUUUAACCUUCGAUACGAAAUAUAUAUCACAUACUAUGAGCCGAUCAUUAUUUAUUCAGCUUAUGCUUGACUUAAAAAAUCGAGCUAUAAAAUUACUCGAUUGAGCACAAGCUGAGUAAUUUAUUUACUUGUUUAUGCUCAGUCAAGAUUGUACUCAAGGAUUGAGUGGCCACGAGAUUAAUUUUGCUCUUUUGUCUUAAUUAAUUAAGUUGGGUUCUACAAAAAAAAAAAGUCUCUCGUGCCUACCUUUCGGUCGGUCUUCUGCGACGGUUCACAAGGGUCUAUCUUCAUCAGCAAUGCAGCUGGCCUUGGGUCAGUCGUUCGAGAUUGUUCACAAGGGCCAACCCUCAUCAGCUCUUCUACUUGCCUCGAGUCGGCUUCUCGUGGCUGUCAGCAGGGGCCCACCCCUUGCGGCAACGUGUCGACGGUCGGAAGGCUUGUCCUGGAGCCCGACGAGAAGAUUCUCGACACUAGCUUUCGGCCGGCCUUCAGGGUAGGUUCACAGGGGUCCCUCUCCUUCAGCUCUUUUGGGUCGACAGUUCGCGCUUCUCCACAGGGAUCAACCUUCAUCUGCUCGACUGCUAGUCUCGGGCCGGCUUUUCGUGGCGGUCCGCAGGGGCCCUCCCUUAGCAGCAACACGUCGUUCAGCUGUCCGUCGCUCGUGCCUGGUGCCGGGGGCAAUUUACCCACCACCCCCGCCACUGCCCCUCUGUCCGAUCUGGAGGAGGUAGUUCUGUGUGAUUCGACAGGGUCGUCCAGAUCCAGUGCGAGGCUGAUUUCUGCACGGAAGGUCUCGGCGCUCGAGCGGGCAAAACUUCGGAAAGCGUUCCUCCUUGAAGGAGAGACUACUGGUUCGACGUCCUUAGCUCGCAAAUGGAACACUAGAAAGAUCUUGAAGAAAAGUGCUCUUUGUGGAGUGAAGCUCUCGGGGGCCGAAGCCGAGGAGCUACAUAAGUUCAUGCUGUGUAGUUGACCCACAGCGUCUGUCUGAUGAGUUUGGGCCGCCUUUUGUGUGUGUGUCAUUUUCCCUUAUGUUUAAUAUUAUUACCUGGAAUGUCCGCGGUCUAAACGACCUUUGUAAGCGUCGUUGUGUCAGGUCUACUAUAUCUAAAUACUGUCGGGCGGUUGUCUGCAUCCAAGAAUCUAAAGUCGAUUCUGUCUCUCGAUCGUUUCUUCGCUCUUGUUGUGGUUCGAAUUUCGACAGAUGCCACUUUAUUCCGGCAAUCGGUGCUUCGGGAGGAUUAAUCACUUGUUGGAAUUCCAAAAUCUUUGUUUGUACAGAAGCACUGAUGCGAGUUCACUCGCUCACCCUCAACUUGAAACAUGCUACCAGCGGAAAGAGCUUUUACCUUUCGAACGUGUAUGGACCGCCGACAUGGGAUGGGAAAGAAGAGUUCUGCUCUGAACUCCUAUCCCUCAGUACCAUCUGCUCAAACAGUAAUUGGGCUAUUUGUGGGGACUUCAACUUUACUAGAAAUCAGCUAGAACGCAUCGGCAACCCGUGGAGCACAAGAGCGAUGUCCAUGUUCUCCGAUCUCAUCUCGAAUCUAGAAGUCAUCGACCUACCCAUCUCCAACCAAAAUUUCACUUGGUCGAACAUGCAACGAUCGCCGACACUGGCCAAACUAGACAGAUUUCUAAUCACCACGGAGUGGGACCAAACUUUCCCACACUGUACGGUAUCUGCGCUACCCAGAAUUACAUCUGACCAUACACCAUUAAUUCUCACUUCAGGGAGCAAGCACACUUUGCGGAGAUUUCGGUUCGAGAAAGUAUGGCUCUCUAGGGAGGACUUCUCAAAUAACGUUCCAAUCUGGUGGAAUGAAGUUACCAGUGAGAGAUCAGCAAUCCUCACUUUAACAGCUAAACUAAGGCAUUGUAGAAACAGGAUGAAAGAAUGGAGUAAGACGAAAUUUCAUAGCAUAUCCAACGCGAUUAGAAGGUUACAGGAGGAUAUACGAUGCAUAGAUCUUUUAGAGGAAGAAAAUACACUGCCUCAGGAAAUGCGGGAUCAACGGCUCGACCUCAAAGCACAACUCCAGCUCAUCCUUAAGGAGGAAGAAAUUCUUUGGAAAACGAGAGCGAAGCAGCACUGGCUUAAAGAAGGAGAUAGUAAUACAAGAUUUUUUCACGCAGUGGCCAACAGUCGAAAACGUACCAAUGAGAUACAAUUUAUUGUAGACGACAAUGGAAGACAGACCAACAAUGAAGCUCAAAAGAAAUCAUAUUUUUUUCACUCCUUCAAACGUCUGUUUGGGAACGUGGAAGAUGACCCAGCUUCCUUUGGCGAUUGGGCUGACCUGUACCGAGCGGAUUCCCUUGCUGAUCCGGAUUCCCUCACGAGCCCGUUUACUAUAGACGAGGUUAAAAAGGCUACCUUUCAACUGGGUAGUGAAAAGGCACCCGGCCCCGACGGUUUCCCACUCAUUUUUUUCCAAUAUUUUUGGGAGACGGUCAAGGAAAACAUUUUUAGUAUCUUCUUAGAGCUUCAGGAGAACAAUCUCUCCACGGCCCCAACAGACUACGCCUACGUCUGUUUAAUCCCCAAAAAGGAAGGAGCAUGUCAGGUUAAUGACUUCCGACCGAUAUGCCUAAUAAACGGAAUUCAAAAGAUCAUCUCUAAAGUGCUCGCGAAUAGAAUUGCCGGCAUUUUACCAACAAUCAUUUCUUCGUCACAAUCAGCUUUCCUGAAAGAUCGACUAUUACCCGACUCUUUUGUUACGGCAAGUGAACUACUCAAUUGGUGCGCAAAAUCCUUUAAGAAGUGUGUCAGUAUUAAAGUGGAUUUUGAGAAAGCUUACGACAAAGUGAGAUGGAGUUUCCUGCAAAGUAUACUACGGUGGCUCGGGUUCAGUGAUAAAUGGUGGAACUGGAUUGAACAAUGCAUCUGCAAUGCUAAAAUCGCCAUUUUAGUAAAUGACGAGCCAUCAGGAUGGAUAAAAACGAGGAGGGGGUUGAGGCAGGGGGACCCGCUUUCCCCUUACCUAUUCUUAUUGGUCGCCGACUGCUUGGCUAGGAUGACAGAAGCAGCUAAAGGAAAUAACUUGUUGCAGGGAAUUGGACCAACCGUUGAUUGUCAUACAGUGAUUCUUCAAUAUGCGGAUGAUACAUUAUUCUUCUCCGAGCCCAAAAAGUCCAAUAUGCGUAACUUACUAUUCCUAUGGAAGAUAUUUGAAUGGGCCUCUGGCCUUAAGAUAAAUACGAACAAGACGGAACUUUACUAUGUGGGAACCACCGUAAACAGAGCCAAGAGACUCGCAGAUAUUUUGGGGUGCCGAGUAGGUAAUCUACCGUUUCGCUACUUGGGCUUGCCGCUACAUAUCAAACCCCUUCGAAAGGAAGAUUGGGCUCCGAUCGUUAACCGUUUAGAGAUGCGCAUCGAUGGAUGGAAGGCAAAACUACUCUCACAAGGAGGCAGAUUAAUCUUAGUCAACUCGGUACUUUCGAACCUCCCGUUAUUCUACUUCGCAAUCUUCAAAGUGCCACAAUGGGUUCUGAACCGCAUUGAAGCUCUUAGAAGAUCCUUCUUUUGGAAAGGGUGCUCCAAAAUUUCUGGUGGCUCAUGCCUCGUUGGUUGGAAAACAAUAUGUAAAAGCAAAAGAGAAGGGGGCCUGGGGAUCAAAGAUAUGGGAGCAAUGAAUAAGGCACUGUUAACCAAAUGGUGGUGGCGGUAUUUCAAUGAGAGACACCUGUUAUGGGGGAGACUGAUCAAAGCCUUGUAUUACACUAGAAGAAGGCCAUUACACGAGGGAAGAUCCUUCAGACCUUAUUCCCAAUGGUGGAGAAGCGUGAUGAGCUGCCGAGACGUGUUCAAGUGUGGAGUCUCGUAUGUGCUUGGCGAUGGAAAAAACAUCAGGUGGUGGACGGAUAUUUGGAUUGAAGAAACCCCUCUUAGUACCCGAUUUUCUGGAUUGUUUUGCAGGAUAGCGAAUCAGGACGCCACAGUCGCACAAUGCUGGAAUGAUAGAGGGUGGAGAUGGCGUUUCAUAACCAGAGGUCUCACUACUAAUACCACUCCCCUGAACCGCCAAAGUUUAGCGCUGCUCAAAAACCUGCUCAUUCAGUAUUGCCCAUUGGCUAGAGAGGAUAAGCUAUUGUGGAGAUGGACUGCUGAUCAAAUUUUUACCGUUAAAUCCCUUUAUGAUUUCAUCACCAACGCAGGUCAGAUUGAUCCUCUGUACGAUCAUCUUUGGGGGUUAAAAAUUCCGCUCAAGCAAAAAAUUUUCAUUUGGAUCCUAUUGCAUAAGAGAUUACUUACAACGGAUAGACUGAUUCGCCGAGGGAGUCCUGUGGAUCAGCAUUGCAUGUUCUGUGUGUUACUAUCUGAAUCUUGCGACCACUUGUUUAGUGAAUGUAUCUUCGUCAGAUACCUCCAAAUUGAGGUCGGAGUUUCAGUGGCGGCCGAUUCGGACGCCGGGGAUGUUCGUCGUUUAUGGACACGGAUCUCAAACAACCCCAACGCCCUAAUGAGAUCGAAAAAUCUUACCCAAUUGGCGGCAAUCUGAUGGGUCAUUUGGACGGAGCGAAACAAGAUCAUCUUCCGCGACGGGUCUCCCAACGCCUACCGGGCUCUUGAACGUGUCAUGGCCCUGAUCACAAAUUGGAACAAAGUCCUCUGAAGCCGCGAUACAACGCGCAGUUCUUUUCCUUCAGUAUUUACCCAUAUCUAUUUAGUUUCCCUUCGUUUGCACUCUCUUACUUUUCCCCUUUUACGGACUUGCUGUUUUCGGUUCUUUUUGGUUUCUCCUUCUUUUGCCGGCUCGGUUAGGAGGCCUAGCUGCUUCCAUCUUGUUCGCCUAAUUCAUUUUGCUUAAUGAAUGAAGCAGGUAGCUUGCUACCUAAUACUAAAAAAAAAAAAAAAAAAAAAAGAUUAUCAAAUGUUUCAAAUCUAUAAGAUUGACUUAAGAAAAUAAAGUAAUCAAACUAUCAAACGAAUCUGAACAUACUAAAUACAUGAAAGGUUUCGUCUAACACAAAGAUAAAGUAAAUAAUAAUCCAAAGAGAGCACAUUGAAACAUUUAGAUAAUGUCUUUAAGUUAGACAAACUAAAGGAACCACACGAAUAUAGAUGAUUGACUCAUAUUGGUCAAAUCAAAGGGUCCAGGACCUUCCUUUGAUCUUCUAGAGGUGUUCACCACUAUUACACUGUAAUACCAAAGGGACACAAAGCCUAAACCACUAUAUAGAUAUAUACACAGAUAGAUAUACAGAGAGAUAGAGAGAAAAAACAAACCAGGCUUUAGGGAAAGUCAUGGCGCAUCAACGCAUUCAACCUUUUGCUGUAUAUAAUCAACACCACCUCUCAUCACGGAUGUUCCCCUUGUCUUUUUGUAAAGUGUACCAAGAUCUUUAACAACACUAUACCCAGAAAAUGAGAGUUUUACAAGGAGAAAAUUAAUCAUUCACAUGGAAGUGAUUUAACGAAGAAAGAAAGAGUAAACUUCAAUUAGCGGGCUGUGGUUCAAACGAAAUUCUAAAAUAAAUUAUUAAACAAAAUAAUAAAGUAAUAUUUUUUACAAAACAACAUUAAUGUGAUGCAGCAGUUUACAAUUUUAUAAUUAAUAUGCACUUAAUUUACUCUUUUAUGGUUUGCAAAAUUUGCCAUGCAUGUUAUCUUUUUGUUUGACACUUCCUACAUACUCAUGGUAAAACAAACAAAAAAAAAGAAUUGUAGAGUAGAUAAGUAUAACAUUUUAAACCAUAUAUAAAAUAAUAAAGUAAAAAUAAAAUAAACUAUUUAUAGGACAGUAAAUUGAAGUUUAUUCAAAAAUUUAUCGUUUAAACUGGUAUCAUAAUAUGCCAAGUAUCUAAAGCUAAUGACUAAGUUUUGAAAGAUGGUAGAUGGGUUUUUGGGCAUGCAUGCAUGCAUGCGCGCACGGAAAAGAAUAGGUUAGGAAGUGGCGGUGCUGUUUCCUGUUUAGGGUGGGAAGAUAUAUAUAUAGUUUGAAUUGGCUUUUGAGGAUCGAUGACUUAAUUUGUUCCUUGUAUUUUUCGUGUCCUUUUGUACUGUCUCUGUGGUAAUUAAGAUGGUGAGAGAAUAUCUCCAGGAAUAUCUCCACGCGAAGGAGCCACCACCAGGGUGUUGUAGCUAGUGUGUGCAUGUUGCGUCAGUGCGUUGAACUAUUUGUUGAUUGAUGCAGAGGAAUGUAACUAAACCAUGCACGCAUGAUGGACUUAUUAGAGAACACCUUAAUUUCUUCUAACGAAUUAAUUAUAUAGUAACCCACUAAUUAACCCUCCCCAGAAGCAGUGCCAGAGAAUUAAACCAAAAGCUUAAUUUCCUCUGCACGUAGCAGCAAGUACGUGCGUGCGUUCUAUUGUGAAAAAUGACCCAUCUUGCACCUGUGGUAUUCGGUGUUGGAUUUGAGAGAGAUUGAGGCCAUCGAGCACGAUAGAUUCAAGAGUUGUUGGGAACGAUUGAAUUGGGUUCGAACACUUCGAGCAUCCGAAACCGACCUAACAGCAAUAUUUGUCAACGGGAAACUGUAGCCACAAACUGUAUUCGACGAAGAAGGAUCGAUUUUGUAGUGAAAGUGUGAAACGCAUACUAAUUAAUGCUUAUAAACAAAAAGGUCGUCAGCUCAGGGAAAAAAAAUAUAUAUAGAAAUAUAGUUUUUCUAAUUUCUUAUGGAAUUGUACAAAAUAUAUCGUGCCGACUAAUGUAAUUUACAGAAACAGGAUAUGUUUUUUAUCAUAUUAUCUCACCGCACAUAACACAUUUCUAUUUUACCUCUAUCCAUAUAAAAUGUGAAUUUUUAUUUAUCCUAAUAAGAUAAAAAUAAGAAUAAAUUAUAUAUUUUUUAUUAGUUAUAAAACGCAUCUCCCCAUAUCUUAACAAAUAUUAUUAUCUUUAUCUUUAUGUGAAAAUCAGAAUAUUUAUUUUUAUCUUUAUCUUUAUGUAAAAAUCAGAAUAUUUAUUUUUAUCUUUAUCUUUAUGUAAAAAUCAGAAUAUUUUAAAGAAUCCAAUAAAAUCCUGAUAAUUUAUAAUUAUGAACUCCUUUCUCUCCGACUUUGUACAUAAAAAAAUAAAUAAAUAAAUAAAUAAAUAAAGAUUUCUUCCCACGGAUUUCCAUCUACAUGAUGAUCAAGGAUAGAGAUUCCGACAGGAUCUUCGAUCGAAGAUCCAAAUUCGAUCCAAAAGGUCAUUGCAGACCUAGAAGGCUCUAAGACAAGUAUGACGAUCCGACAAGCUUCUGCUAAAAUUACAAUACGUAUGAGGUUUUACAAUAGUUGUAUUUUGUCUAUUUCUUUUUUGCCAGAGCAAAACACUAUACAAUUAUAUGAAGCUGAUUAUUUACAUACGCCACAUUGCCAGACGCAUCUCUUACCAACAAAAGAGAAACAAGAGAAUUGUUGAAGCUAUGAAAUAGAAUAAGCAGCAUCGACCCAAUUAGACGAUAUACAUUUUUUACACUAGCUUUCGAUUCUCUAAUGUCGAUCCUUGAUCUAUCUAUAAAUGAAUGGUCUGACAUAUAAAUACCUUGUCCUUCUAACAUGUGCAGUUGCAUAGGAUCUACGCCGAGCUGAUGCUCACACCGGCAUAAUCUUCGCUUUUGAAUCUUCACCUCGUCAAAUGGAUUACUCUCAUUGAAUCUCCAAUAUUCAGUACAUAUCCCCAUUCAUUUGUCUGUAUUUAUAUUCGCGUGCUUAAAGAAUAACAUACAAUACGAAACCCUGCCCACCCAAAGAAAGGAAGGAAAAAAAAAAGUUCAAUAGGAAUCUCUCCGAUCUUACGAUAUUACUAAGUUCAGUGGAUGGGGAUGUGGGCUCAUUGUACAUGUUUACGACUAGGGGAAAAGCGCAGGGCUAAGGUUACAAUAUACUAUACACCACAAGAUAUAGAGAGAGACAAUGUUGCUACAAUGAGGAGGCAAGAGGUGCAAGGUUACAAUGAAGAGACAAUGUUGCUACAAUGAGGGCUAAGGUUACAAUAUACUAUACAUUACCAGCCAUACACAGGAUUCUGUACCUGAGGAGGCAAGAGGUGCAAAUCCCUACAAUGUUGCUUAUCAUAAUCACGUGUACCGGGUAUUGCUCCUGUAGACAACCUUAGAAUUUCAUUGCCUGUUAGACAGUAAUGAGCAAAUGCCAACCCUCCAUCCACCAUAUCAUUCAAAUUUGGCAAGGAAACCGACUUUUUCAUCUUACUGAUUGUUUUACUACUUUCUCCAUGCUCAUUGCUCUCAUUACUCAAAACCUUGUUGAGUUCCGAAUACUCCAUGAAUCUUUGGGUUGCAGCCUCCCAUGAUAAGUUAUAUCUCUCCUCAGGGGUGAGGGGUUGAGGCUCACUGGCCAUCGCCUCUUUAACUCUGGCAACAAAAUCUUCCGAUGUUUUGUACGUCAAGCAGUUCGGGAAAUCCCGGAAGAAAUCAUUUGACGGGUGGUCGGCACAGAUAACGAACUUCCCCAUUGCAAGAGCCUCUGCUGUUGCAGUGCAUAGGACAUCGCUAACACUUGGAUUGAUGAAAACCUUGUACCUGAGAAGACAAGGAAAGAUCACAUAAGUGCAUUCCACAUUCCACAAUCAAUAUAGAAGUCAGAACAAAACAAUGAGGCCUAAUGAAGGGGUCUUUUUCUUUUCAAACACAUAUAAUAAUAUAUGCAAAACUGCAAUAGGCACAAAUGCUUGUCUACUCUAAAUGCAGCCCCUCUGCUGAUGUAUAGGCAUAAACAAUUUUUCCAUUUAGCCCAGGCAGGGGCUUGAUCACUGAUAAGGUUUCGGUUCUGAGGUACAUGCAUGCAAACCCAACUUUGCAGAUCUAAUUUAUGCAAUUUUUCACAUAUUUUCAAGGAUAUGUAAGAAACAAAAAGAUCCCUUGUAAGUUUUUAGUUUUCAUGAAAUACUUACCCAUGAAGUGAAUCAUCUGCAUGGUCCCUUCCUCUUAGGAAGUUAAGAUUAAGGUCCAACUUCUUAGCUGCUGAUUGAACUUCAUAUGAAUCCUCACCGUUUCCAAAGACAUCCAACUUGAAGCCUUCCAAGUCACUCUUGUGUUUAGCUAACAAAUCUAUCAGUUCUCUGUAACCUUUGGCCCACACCAUCUUCCCCAGGAAGUAUGCCCCUUUGGAGAAUGCAUGUUGCCCUCGCUCCCUUUCAGCUGCCAUUCUCACUCCAACCUCAAGAAAUCUGGGAUUCACACCAUGCACAUUGCAAAUGACGGACUUCGGUAGAUCCUGAGUUGCUGCAGAAAGACGCAAUACCUGCAGGACAGCCCAUCAUUAACUAGUUAAAGAUACAGGAUAUCGAUCAAAGGUUGGCCUAGCGAUUGGAACUGCUCUGUUCCAAGAAGCAGCAACCAGGUGUUUGGAAUAAAAAUUUUGAAGCUUUUGCUGGGAAUGAGAGCUGAAACAAGCAUAAGGCCGGCAAACCAGAAACUUCAGUUUGAAGUUUCUGCUUCUUCUGCACCAGGAAGCUGUUGACGAGAAUUUAAGCUACAAGCUACUAUUUUUUCGAACAGCUGCACUCAAAAGGCAUUCAGAAGUUCCAGCCAGGCCAAUCAGACCCUCAGGUCAACAAAAGAUCCACAAGCAAAUGAUUCACCAGGAAAUGCCACCUUCCCAACAAAGAAGAACAUACGGACUUCUUUACAAGCCACGUGACUAUAUUAAAUUACGAAAGCAGAAGGUUCAAAUUUGAUACCUUAUGGCAGUAUGCACGGGCGACCAAAUUGUUGAUAUGUUUGACAAAAAAAGCUUGUAUAGCACCAUUCUUCUCCCGCUUGAUGUACUCCAAGUAAUUCGUAUGAACAACACCUACCACGUGAUCAAACUUGUCGGUCCACCGCUUUCCAUGGUGGUACCAGUUUAGGUGCUCUGGUUCCUCCAAUAUGGCAAUGUCAGCUUCCUUCGAGGAGAUGAACUGUGAAGUGUCACCAGCAGGAAUAAUGCUUCGCCGUUCUUUUGAGAACUAUCAUUCAAGAGAGUAAAUAAGAAACUGUUAAAGCAUAUUGAAGACUAAUAAGAAUUAUAAAAUGGAUCAUAAUGCACUAAAUAAAUGACUACCUUUCCAGGAUAAAAAGAGAUCUUGAAAUCUGCCUUAAAGCCGAUUCUUUCCUCCAGCCAAUUCCGUAUAUAGGCCUCCUGCUCCCCUGGAGAGCUGAAAGCCAUGUUGUUGGGAUAAACCAGUUGUUGGUCUGACUUACAAAGCCAAGGGACCACCAACGUUACGUCCUGCUUAGCUGAUUUAGCCAAAUAUGCAGCUCGAAAAAGUGGAUUUACAGCAGUUCCAGUCAUCCAGGGAAGACUAGCAGUUGUAAAAAUUGCAACAUGGCGCUUAUGAUCUGUCCUAUCAUGCUUUACAGCAUUACUCCAAAGCCCUCCCUCAUCACAGUGAUGGCCAGUACUUUGCAGCACACUAGCUAUUCGUAGGUCAAGUUCGUCGCUUAUAGUCUCAUUUCCACAUAAGGAUGUUCCAUUUUGACUAACAGGAUUAUAUAGAAGGUGGUCUUUGUGUUUACUGCAUAGGGCCUCCACUAUUUUGUCGCAAAUGUCUACACCCAGAAGAUAUGUUUCUAGGUAAAAGAUGUGGUAUCUUUAAAAGUCAAAAAAAAAAAAAAACAAAAAAAACAAAAGAGAAUGCUAGGUCUGAAGAAAUAUUAUUAAAAAAAAUAAAAUUUUAAAAAAACACACAAUGAUAUGCAUAAACAUCCUGUAUAUUAACAAGUCACAAGUUAGACUGAGUAAACAAAGUUUUGGUUUCAUACCUCUUUUGAUGCCAAACUGAUCAAACAAUGGUCCAGAUUGUUUAACAAGAUAUGCCAAAAGCUCAGGUAUAUCCAAAGGCGGAACUUCCUGUAUGAAUCAACAAAAUGCAUUUGCUCUUGAAUCAUUAUCGAAUAAAAGUAGUACAUUAUUAAAUGAAAGUAUCAAAAUGAAGAUAAUAAUGUGACAAACCUUGGAUUGUUCAGGCUCUUUGCACAUUGACUUCUGCAAAGAAACCAAAAACAGAUAUAAGUAUGGCGACUCUGAGUUAAGAUAUAUAUAUAUAUAUAUAUAUAUAUAUAUAUAUAUAUAUAUAUAUAUAUGCAAGAAGAGAAACACGGGAUAAGAAUAAAGUUAAACAUAUGAGGAUGUAUAAAUUAAUCCAUGCAUUUACUCUGCAUGUGGGGUUGAUAAAACAAUAGAUUGUGUUAUCAUUAACUGCAAGUAGAAAAAUAAUGGUGAUACACAUAAACAUAUCAUACCUAGACAAACAAAAAUACAAGUAUUCCACUAAUACUUGGAUGAGCAAUUUAGCAAACUAAAAACACAAAACUAAACCUCAGGAGAAGUAACUUUGAGAGUCAAUAUCAAUUUGCUAGUAUGUGGGCAUGUUCUUGAAAUAAGAAGAAUAAAAUAGUCAAAGGACAAUCAAACAAAAAAAUCUCAGAAAAAUAGAAAAGCUAGAGCUAUUUAAGAGAACAUAGUUUAAGUCCUGAAUGAGCAAGGGAGUAAAACGUUCUGACAUGUAAUUGUAUGUUUCCCUGCAGUUAGUCCAUUUGCGUUAUUUGCGGAAAUGACACAUCUAAAGAAGGGACCAAAUAGUCACAAACUAUCAUUCUUAGAGCAUGAUGACCAGCACAGACUGAAGCUACGGAAUGUCGUUACCCUAUGGACUGUUUGCCAUGAAAAAUCUUGAAAUAAAGUUCAAGAAUUGAUGUCCAAAGUUCAAAGAUUGAUGAUUAAAGAAAAAUUUCUAAAGAAUACAGGACUACUAGUCCCUGCCGAACAAUGCAUCCAGACUUAAUUUAAUUGGAAUUAUGGGAAUACGAUAAGUGAUGUCCAUGAGUAGCUGAUAUCCUAUUCUACUGAUCAAUUGUUUUGCAAUAGAAUACAAAUGCCAAUCUCAUCACGGAAUAAUCUUUGUAUGCUACAAGCUUGAUAAUUCUAUCUAUCGCUGUAAAAAUCAUCCAUCAUAUUUAUCCUUAAUUAAUUUCACAAUGAACAACAUAGAAGCCCCGAAAUAAAAUAUUUAACAUACUGUACGUACUAAGAAUCUAGCCAUGAAAACCCUAGAGCGACAUAAAGAAAACAAAGAGGAUAGAGGAAGGGGCAUUACCAAGCUCAUUUUAAUUUUCUCAACAAAUUCGUUGCUCUUGAAAUUCCCAAAGAUCUCAUUCGGCUGGCUCUUCCUCUCGAACUCCUUUAACCCAGUCUUUAACAUACGGAUCGGCUCCCACUCCUUGCCCUCCUCUUCCUCCUCCCGCUCUCGAUCCUUCCACAGAACCUUCCUCUGCCCCCGAAACCUUUCCUUCCCCAAAUCCAGCGCGCCUCCCACCUCAUCCACCUCCGCCACAAUCGCUUUCUUUAUGGCCGAGAGAUCGACCCGUAUCGUCGAUUUGGGGCUCCACCUCUCGAGCACCUUCCGGCUGAAAUCCGGCGACGAGUACGCGCGCCGUAUUUCGGAGAGCUUCGGCUGGAUCCGCUUCACGAACUCGAGCUCGACGAUCGACCCCUCCGCCGCGGGGCGCGCCGGGGCCGAGAACGCCGACGCCGAGUGGAGGAAGUUCUCGAGCUCGCGGUCGGCGAGGUUCUUCAAGGAGUCGGCGCGGGCCCGCAUCAGGCGGAGGUCGGCGUCGGCGGAGUCGCGGACGUCGCGCCACCCCUUGGAGAAGAAGGAGAAGGCCUUCUCCGCCGUGCCGGAGCUCGCCGCCGAGGGCCUCGUGUCCAUGCCGAGGUUGAUCAUGGCUAAUCUAGGGUUAGGGUACUCGGUUUUCUUCUCCGUGUUCUCGCGCUCUCUAUUAGGGGAUGCGAUCGUGUGGAGCGCGCAAGAGAGAAUACACCACGGAAGCGACGAGGGGAAAGAGGAGAGGAGGAGAAGCAGCGAGGUCCAUUUUUAUCGUGAAACUGUACAGGGUCCACGAGGAGAUUUUAGCAGGGCGGGGUUUGCUGACGUGGCGGAGACGGAACGCGAGAUGAUGACGUGGCCAGUUGUGGUUGGUGGGUGUAUGAUGAACAGGUGAUCUUUUUUUUGUAGAAUAUUCUCGAAGGGCGGGGGGGAAUAUCCUGCGGUCGAGGGACGUUCGACGGCCCGAGUCCGUGGAGGUGAUUGGUGCGUGUUUGUUGAUCCGAACUAGACCGGUUCUACAUUCAAAAUCCAUUUAUAUGUUCUUUAAAUUUUAAAUAUGAAAAAUUCGUACAAUUUUCUUUUAAAAACAAAUCGCCCGAUUGAUCCAAAUUUUGGCUAAUUGUUUUUACGGCUAAAUUAUAUUAAAGUCAUUAGAAAUCAUAUGCGGCGUGUCCAAAUUAAUUCACCUGUUUUAAAGUAUUACCAAAAUAUUGGUGAUACUUUCUGAACUGUCUAAAAGAUUCUUCCAACACAAUUAACUAUCUAUAAAUAAAGUUUGAAAAAUCAAUUCACUAAUUAAUCGGUCGAGACUAAUCCAUUAAUUGUACUUAAUAAGUAUGUUUACUUAUUAAGGCACGAGAAACAUAUUUAAGUGCUGCAGCAACAAUCGACCAUCUCUUGCGUAAGUGGCAAAAGACUUGGUUGUUGAUAUCCGAUGUUCUAAAUUCGAAUCCUAAUUGAUUCAUAUUUUCAUCUAAANUUCUUUACUUUUAUUUAUUUUAUUUUUAUUACUUUACUUAUUUACUAUAUUAAGGAACUAUUUGAUUAGAUAUAAUUAUAAAUACAGUGUAGUUAGAAAUACAUAUAGUUAAAAAUACAGCAAUUACAACUACAUACAUUCUAUACAGAGGAGUGUGGAGAGGGUUGCCGUAUGCUUAUGGGUUCCGGAUUCAUCAUUCAUGUAUGGUAUAUAAAUGAAAUUUUAAUUUUAUUAUAUAGACUAUUAAAAAAUAGGAUUGGUCCAUGUGAUAAAAUUUUAUACUUAAUAUAAGCAAAAAUAAAAAAGAAAAGGUGUUGAGAGAAAAAAAAAAUUAAAAAAAAAAGGUGCAGGGUGUGAGAGAAAAAAAAAAAGGUGGGCCUAUAUGUAUAUAUAGUGUAGAGCUACUAUACUAUCGGAAGUAUAGAGGAUCUAAUGUUUCCAACUUUUUGAUCAUUGGAUCAAAAAUUAUACGGUUGAGAUGAUUGCGGCUCUCUCAGGAUUGAGUAGUACCCCUAGGGUUGAGUGGUCCCUACAGGGUAAUAGCAUUAAUCCAAGGUUAAAAAUGAUCAAAGGUAUUGAUCUAAGGGCCAAAAAAUUGAAAGUACCAGAUCCUCUAAGCUUCCGAUAGCAUAGUAGCUCUACUAUAUAUAUAUAUAGAGAGAGAGAGAGCACUAGGCUCCUAUGCUUUCGAAAGUACAGAAGUGUCCGUACUUGUAAGUUGUUUUCAAUAAUGGUACAUCCGAUUCGGCGAUCAGUUCCGUUAGAUAUGAUCUACGCUAUUAGAACUACCUAGAAACUAAAUUUCAUAAUUUUUUGACUUCGUUUGUCUAAUAAACGAGUAGCCUCAAAAUGAACGGCUGAAAAUAAAAAUCUCAUAAAAAACAGUGAUUAUAGCGAAUUAUUUACAAAGAUUUAUUUGUUAUAUCAAAUUAAGGUGCCGUCUGAUUUAAAGUUUAUAAUAUUUAAAAGAUAUCACAUAUUUUAUAUUUAGAAUAACAAGUCUGUUACUAAUUUAUCAAGUCACUUAGAUUGAAAAGUUGUUAAACACUAGUAUAUAUUUAUUAAUGAAAAUAAUAAUUCCACUGCUUCACUAACAAGUUUUACAACUACCCAAUUUGAGCUAUUAAUAAUAAUUUGAAUAUUUUUAAUAGAAAAUAUAGAAGAAUAUCGAAAUAUUACAAACUGUGAACCAAACGAGACAUGAGAGUAAACUUCAAUUUCUCUACCGGUGCCUCUAAUUUAUUUUUUAUCUUAUCAUUUUAUAGUUCAAAAAAUUAUACUUAACUAUUUUAAAAGUUAACUGAUUUUUAUUUUAUCAUCAUGUAAUUUAAAAAAUUAUACGUAAUAUUUGAUGAACUAGGAUUUAAUUGGAUGGGUGGAUAUGUGGAAAAUUUGGGGACCGAAAAAAAAAAAAAAAAAAAAAAUUCAUUCCAAUGGAUCUAAUCAGAUCAGUAUGUGUCAAAUCUAGGACAAGAAAAAGAAAGAAAAUAUAAUCGUUCGAUGCAUUAGAUUGUGUUUACGUAUUCGUAUUUGUAUAAAAUCAAUAGAAGCAACGACGAUCCUUUACCUGGAUUUUAAUGAAAAGAAUACUUCGAAUAUGUUAGAAAUCCCUAGACAUCUUUUACCCAAAAAAUUUUUUCGGUUUUGAUAAUAACUAUGUUAUAUUUGAUAUUAUUUUUUUGAUAAUAUUUCAUUAUCUUAUUUCAUUNAAUGAAUACUAACUUGAUACAUUUAAACCACAGGGUAAUAAAGUGAAAAAAUGUGAAACCAUAGGAACGGUAUUUGAAAUUUAUCCUUUUUAGAAAGAGCAUCUAUCCACAUAGCAUAUAAGGUUGCAAUUUAUUAUUGCGUAAAAUAAAUUCAACAUACUAUCUAUAAUAAUAAUAGAUUCAAAAGAUUAAUCAGUUAAGUUGGGUUGAACUUAAAAAGUUAAAUAGGACUGCGAUUCACAAUAGACCUAAUGACAAAAGACAUAAUAAUAAAUCUAACGUUUAGAUAAUUUGAGUCAUAUCGAAAUUUUUAAAUGCGGUAGUUGAGUCCUUUAAGUAAGAUUAGCGCUCUUUAUAUGAUAGCAUAAGUCAGAGCCUUUUCUUUAGUACAGUGGCAAGUCCAAUUAUCAAUACGUAAGACAUGACGUAUAAUUAAUUAAAAGAAUUUUUAGUUAUUAUGGAUGGAGAUAAAAUUAGGAGAGAGAUUUGGGCAAAAUUUUUAAUCUUUAUCUAAUUUUAUUUAAAAAGUUAUUGCUAAAAAUAAUUAAAUUUUUUUAUAAAUUUGUACGAACUAGAUUUUUUUUUUCUAAAAUUAAUUUAUUUUUUAAAAAAUAAUUAUUUCUAGUUAACAACUAGUAGAAAUAAGAAAAUAGAUUUCGGUUCCCAGAUUGAUGCGAAGGCUUCUGAUUAACUUGCACAUGUGAUUCAAAAAUAUCACACAGAUUGUCUUUUUUUUUUUUUAUAUCGCACAGAUUGUCUCUUUUUUUUUUUAGAGAGAAAGGUAGCAUGCUAUCCGCUUCGUUUAUUUUAUUUAGAAAUAAACUUAGCUGAAAAUGUGAAUCAACUAGGAUUCGAACUUGAGUCUCGGAUACCAACUACCAAGCUCUUUGCCACUUGCUUUAGGAACGGUCGGUAUAUCGCACAGAUUGUCAAUAUAUUAAUAAUAUAUAAAACUAGUAUUGUCAAAACCUGUAGCAAUGCUCAAUACAUAAAUAUUGCCUCGGCAAGGUGUGUCCUUAAAAUUGACAAACCUUAUUAAAUAUUUGAAGUUGAAUAUCGUGAAAUUAAAAUUUGAUUUAACAAAUGUGAGUUAUAAUAUAUAAAGAGUCCGUAGAACAAAAAUAAAUAAAUAUAUAAUCAUUAAAAUACGAUAUUGGCGUCCAAAAUUUGUGAUUUUUAACAUGGUGGACUUUUAUAUGUUACGGAACAAACUAACUCAAUUAGAUUCUAAUAAUGAGAUCUGUAUUAUGUAGAGCUCAAAUGCUUUAAUUGGAUGUUUGGUACAAUUCACAAUAUAUAUAGGGAUAACUUCAAAAAACCCCCCCCUGUGGUUUUCAACUUUCUCACUUUAGUACCCUAUGGUUUAAAAUGUAUCAAUUUGCCCUCCUGUAGUUUCGUUUUUCUUUUUUUUUUAUCAAUUUUAUUAUUUUUUUCCUCAAAUCAAUGACAAAAUUAAAAUUAAAGGGUACUAAAGUAAAUAUUCGGUAAAUCUAGAUAGAUAUCUGAUAUUUUUUUGCAUAUAAUUUAACGAAAUAUUAAGAAAAAAGCUAUAAAAAAGGUAAAAACAAAACCACAGGGGGGGCAAAUUGAUACACUUUAAAGUAUAGGGUACUAAAAUGAGAAAGUUGGAAACCACGGGUGGUUUUUUGAAGUUUUCUCAUAUAUAUAUAUAUGAGCUACUAUGCUUUCGAAAGUAUAAGAGAAUUGGUGCUUCCGACUUCUUUUAUCUUUGAUUAAGGAUUGUACGAUUGGAAUGAUAAUAGUUUCCUAAGGAUCGAGUUGUUUCCUUAGAGUUGAGUGGUUUCCAGAGGAUAUAUAAUAAUAUUAAUCCAAAUAUUAGAAAUGGUCAAGGGGGUUGAUCCAAGGGUCAAAAAGUCAGAAGCACAACUCCUUUAUACUUCCGAAAGUAUAAUAGUUCUACUAUUAUAUAUAUAGAGUCUGGUUGGGAUACUAUCGAUGGCACCAAGCGUUUGGUGCUAUCGAGUUUUCCGCCGUUAAAUUUAACCCAUCGACUAUUUUCACCCGUUAAAUUAUACUAUUAAACCAAUAACUUACUCAACCUUAGAGAGCCCAUAUCAUCAUAACCAUACUUUUUUUCAUGCAAUGGCUAAAAACCUAAUAGUACCAAUAACUUGGUGCUAUUGAUAGUAUAACAACCUAGUUCUAUAUAUAUAUAUAUAUAUAUAUAUAUAUAUAUAUAUAUAUAUAUAUAUAUAUAUAUAUUAUAUAUAUAUAUAUAUACACACACACACACAAACACACACGGAGUCCGGCUACUAUACUAUCAGUAGUACCAAAUUCUUAGUACUAUCGAGUUUUCUGCCGUUAGAUCUACUCUUUGAUUAUUUUUAUCCGUUAAAUUAUACUAUUCAACGAACCACCCACUUAGUUCUAGAGGAUCACUAUCAUCCCAACCGCAUGUUCUUUCGUCCAACGGUCGAAAAUUCAAUAUUAUCAAGUGAUCAAUUUUACCAAGCUGUGGUUGGACUUUUGAAAUCGGAUUACAUUUUUCUUAAUAUAAAUAAGAUUCCUAGAAGUUUCCCAAAAAAGUAAUAAUAAUAAAAAAAAUACUCUAGGUCAAAAGGAGCUUCCCACUUCGUAUGAAAUUGCACUGAAAAAUGACAAUUGUUUUAAUAAUUUAGUGAUAUAAUUGUUCACAGUGUGACAUAUUUCCCCCUUGAAUAAAAGAGGGUAUUUUUCAAAUAAUAAUAGAAACAUAAGGAAGUGGUAUUACUCCCAUGAAUCUCAUGUGCAACAUAGAUUUUCCAAGUAAAGAGGAAUUGAAGAGAUGCAUUAUUAAUGUUUGAGGAGAAUAAGUAUACUUUGAAAAGAACCAACUUCAAGAGUAGGUCAAGUUGUUGAUUAUUUCCUCUCCCCUCUUCCUCUCUUCAACUUUUUUGACAAGCUUUUCAAUGUCAAAUAAAGCCAUCAACCAAGCAAGUGCACAAGAAGCUCACUUCAACAAUUUGAAAGUCAACUGAUUGUUUUUUAUAAUAAAUAAUAAUAAUAAUAAUAAUGAUAAUAUAUAAUAAUUUAUUAUUAUACUAUUCAGAGUAUAUGGAUAGUAUUUACUAUUUAAUUUUUUUUAUUUUUGAAUUAUUAUUAUUUCACCUACUUCAACGACAUUCUAAAUAUUUAAUGAUAAAAAAAUUGAUAGUAAACAUUAUUCUCAUAUUAUGAAUAGUAUUUUAACUUAAUUCAAAUCAGUCUUUUAUAUAUAAUAUAUAUUAGCGAUAGUAUAUGAAUAAUAUUUAUUAUAUUUCAAUUUUUUAACUAUUGUAUUAAUACUAUUCCACCGAAUUCCACUAAACCCUAGGCAUAAAUGUAUCAUCGAAAUAAUAAUUUCAUUGCAAUUCACUACAAAAACCACAUUUCCACUGUAUUGGUUAAAUACUCAUUAGUCACGUACGUGAUCCAACAUAGGUUAAAUUUCCAGUAAAAUGAUCAUCUUAUUCUGGACAAAAAACAACUAGAUAGUUAAUUAUUCUAAUGAACAUAUCAAGAUUGUAAACAUAUAGAGACUAUUCGUAAAUUUUAAUGCAUUUUACGAAAGAAAACAUUAUAAAACUUGGUAGGGUACCUUACAAAUAAUUCUUAUUACUUAGGGCAUUAAAAGCACCACAUUAUUUUUCAUCUCAAAUCUUUAUGUACAAGCUCAAAGUCCAUCAAUUUUGAUUGUUAUAUAUUUAGCAAACACCCUUUGUUUUCCCGCUUAGCAAAGGCACACUCUUUUGAAUCCCUCCUACCUCUUGCUUCACAACCUUAACCAUUGGCUCAUCCCCCGCAUUCUCGCCAGGUCCAAAUUCGAUCGUGUACCGUAUCAUGGGCACCGGCGCCCUGAUCAUCGAAUCGAGCUCCUUUAAUGCCAUUUUGACGUGCAAGAGGAACUUCUCGGCCAAAGUUCGGCCGAAAUCCUCACGAAUGACCACCCGAAGGACCGUCGUGUUUUCCAGAUCGGGCGGCAAAGUGUAAGCAGGGACGAUCCAGCCAAACCUCCGCAGGAGGUUAGAGAACUUGUAGGCCAGAGUUUUGUCUCUCUCUUUGAAUGAGAAUGCCACUAGUGGCACUCCUUGUUCCUUCGAGAUUAUGUCGAAGUGGCGCGCCCGUCGCGUCGAGCCCUUCUCGGAGGAUCUUAGCACUCUCCAUGCAGUUAUUCAUCACAUUCCUAUAACCCUGGAGGAGUCACAACAUUCAUUUGUACUCUCUAAUUUAAAUCAAAAACUUUCAUUUAUUAUUGGUAUUGUUUGUAGCCAUGUGGUGUGUCCACAUUGGCGGGUUUUAAUUUAACCCGAUCCACUUAGAAUGUGGAUUAGGGCUUAUCCUAAUAGGUUUAGGAUAAUAAUAAAUUAUAUGUUUCUUAUCAGUUAAGAAAUAUAUCUACUAGAGGAUAUCUAUCAUAUCCUAGUUCUUAUCCUAAUCUCUUUGUGAGAUUCAGGAUAUUUAGGGGUUCCGUUAUUCUAUAUAUACGUCCCCUUGUUUCUCCCAUCUGAGACGAUUGAUAUUCGAAUUAAUUCAAUAUUCCAUUAUUCUCUCUUUUCUUCCUCUCUGGGAUCUCCAACUACGUUCCCGGGGUUUUGGAGUGUGGACAUAGAAGAGGACUCUGGUAGCCCUCUUCGAUCGGCAUCCGUCGCAUCAAAUCCGCAUCCGAUCCGUGGCGUAAGGCGUACGCGAAGGAAAAGGCGAGAAACGUGGGAGAUCCAGAAGCAUCGAGACAAGGACGAUCCAAGAAGGCUUGUAAAACAAGUAAUUCGAUCCGAUUCGGGCUCCCGGAUAAGUUGGCUAUCCGGUUUGUAAGUUUCCGCUGCCUAUUAUUUCCAACAAUUUAUAUGUAGUUUAAAGUAUAAUGUACACAAAUUUAAACAAUCUAAGAGAUUUUGGGAUUUUUGUCCAAAAAUUUUGUCUAAUAAACAUUGUAGCCAUACAUACAUAAAAGGAUCAUUGUUUUGUUCAAAUUAUAGAAAGAAUAUGUACAUCGAAACCUAACCGUAGGAACUGAUAAUAUUGAGCGGUUAUUUGACUAGAACCUGCACCCAAAAUGAGAAUUUAUUAGAAAUUCUUCGACAAAGAUUCGAAUACAAUCAUACAAGUAUGCAUAAAAAGUGCAUUGCCACUACACAAAUAUAAACUAAUUUGUACAAACAUUCGCGCAAUUUCCAAUUUAAAAGUGUACAAAAAAAGUAUAAUGCUUUUGUAAUUUACUGCUACGUAGUCAGAAUGCUUUGCACUCUUUGUAGUUUUAGUUUUAUUUUAACGUAAGAACGUGCCAGUACGAGGCGAUAUAAUAGUAAAGCGUAAAUCGCAGAAUUAAAAAGUGUUAUAUUUUGAUUAUAUGUAACUUAUAAAGUAUAGCAUGGUACGGUCCUUAUUCGAUGCAAAUCUUUUCGAAAAAGUUAAAGAAAAUCAAAUCAGAAGUACAAAAUAUCAUACUGCAAAUAAAUAAUAGUAAACUGCUGAUGCACUAUAUAUAUAUAGAGUCCGGCUACUAUNUUACUUGUGUAGCAAUUUUGUAUUUUAUAUAUAUAUAUAUAUAUAUAUAUAUAUAUAUAUAUGAGUAGAGCUAGAAUACUUGUAAAAGUAGCAUGGGAGUGAUACUUGUGUGUUUUUAGCCCUUGGAUGGAGAGAUGUGAGGUUGAGAUGAUGGUGGUAGGCGGUGGUAGGUGGUGGUAGGUGGAAUAGUGUUUGAUCUAAAGGCUAUUAGUAAUCAAAAAGUAGAUCCAAUAGUUAAAAACACACAAGUAUCACUUGAGUGAUACUUGUAAAAGUAUUCUAGCCCUACUCUAUAUAUAUAUAUAUAUACUUUUGAGGUAGCAUACAGUUUUUAAAUUAAUUGCACCACUUAUUCCCACUCUCUUUUUCGUUGAAUCCGAUACUUAAUCUUCUAGUAGAAUUAUUAUGCCAUUGGUCCCUACUCUUUAUUUGUCUUUUCACUUUGAUUUUGAAUCUCUUUUUCUGUGUGCGCAUUCUAUCGCGUCAAAUCCAGUUUAAUCACCUUCAAUGAUGUUCUCCGUACUUAAGACCAUCUUAAUCUCGCAUGCGACACUUAUAUUUAAAAUAUCUAACCAUUUUGGCAUUCAAUCAUGUGUGACAUUGAUAUCUAAUGCUCUAUUUAGAAUUGCAGAAAAAUAGUGUUACAUACGAUGAAAAAAUUUGAUAAAAAAUAUUAUAUUUGUUUCCGAACAGUAGAUAACAUUUUAUACUAUUUUAUUGCAAAACGUAAAAGUAAAUUUCAAUAUGCUUCCGUUCUAAUUCUGUUUAGUCUAUUAGUAUUAGAGAUGCUUCAAUACCAAACGGAUUCAAAAAAUAAUGAAAUUAAUGUAUGAUUUGAUCCGGCGUGACAUACCCUAUCAAAAUAACUUUAAAAAAUUUGAAUAGUUGGAUCGAGCUGAAACAAAAUAUAGAGGUAUGGAACCUAAAAAUACGAAAAAAAAAAAAAAAAACAAUAAUCAAACAGAAAAAUGAAAUGGUGAUAAUUGGGAGACCAAUAGUGUAAUUAAUAAUUAAUGUGUUUUAUUUUUUAACGAAGUGGAACCGUUUUUCCGCCGAUCCCGUAGGCCCGAGCUUCCUCCGCUCACCACGCCGCGGAGCUACUCCACGUGUCACCCAUCAACGCCUCCACGUGUCCACUUUCACCGGAUCUUUUUUUUUUAAUUUCUAUUUUUAUUUUUAUUUACCGUGGAAUGAAAACCUCUCCUCUUUCUUAAAAAGGCUAAAACCCUAUUUUCUAAUUCUUUUCAUAUACGCACCAAUCAAAUCAAAUCAAAUCAAAUCAAAUCGAAUCAGCGAGAUGGUGGUGACGACGACGACGACGGAUACCGCGGAGUCGUUGCACUCCACCUUCGCCUCCCGUUACGUGCGCGCACUGCUUCCCAGGUUCGAUUUUUUUUUUUUGUCUGCAAAAAUUUAAGUACCGUGACACAAAAUCAUAUAUAAUAAUAUUAUAUAUUAUUAUUGCUAUGAUAAUUCUAAAGUAAUAAUAAUUAGGUAUAAGAUUCCGGAGAGGGUGAUACCGAAGGAUGCGGCGUACCAGAUAAUCAACGACGAGCUGAUGCUGGACGGGAACCCGCGGCUGAACCUGGCGUCGUUCGUGACGACGUGGAUGGAGCCCGAGUGCGACCGCCUCGUCAUGGCCGCCCUCAACAAGAACUACGUCGACAUGGACGAGUACCCCGUCACUACCGAGCUCCAGGUUCAAAACGAAUAUGAAUAUUACGUAUAGAAACAAACAGACACUCUCAAUAAUAUAGUAAAGGAUUAAUUUUAUACAGAUCCUUGCAAACAUAAUAAAUGACAAGUAAAUUUCUAUAAAGUUUAAUUUUUAUAUAUUGUUCNCUCCUUCGAUAUCGAGCUCGUUCCCAGCUCGUACCUGUACUACUCUUCCAAAAUUAUCUCUCUUUUCUUACAACAAUAAUCUCCUAACGUAGGCGCAGAACUAUUUUAAUCUUAAACUCGCUCAACUCUUUUAACCUGUUAAGUCUAAUCAUCAUUCAAAAUAUUAUAGUUUGAUUCAGAGGUUUAAUUCUACCAUACAUUACCGAUCGUCCCUAGAGUAAGUGGCAAAGGGCUCGGUGGUUGGUACCCGAGACCUAAGUUUGAAUCAUAAUUGAUUCACAUUUCUAGCCAAGUUUAUUUCUAAAUGAAAUAAACGAAACAGGUAGCGUGCUACUUAUCUCUCAAAAAAAAAAAAAAAAAUCUACCAUACAUUAUAUAUAUAACUAUUUCAAAUCCUAAGAAUGUAUUAGAAUCAAAAUAACAACAUCAUAGCAACAUCAUAGCACGUAAGUGAUACAGACAAAAUUGUAAGAACAAAUGUAAUAGAAGGCCCUCAUAACUUCAAAAGUUUACGAAAAAAAAGCAAUUAUAAAANUCUCUGCGGACUACAACAAAAACUCGAUUUUUUCCCCAAAAAAAUUUUACGAACAACCAAACAUGGAGAAAAAAAUUUUCAACUGAAAUUUUUUUUUAGAGGGGUUUAACAUAGAUCCAAACACUCGUGAGUUCGGCGGCAAGAACCGCGAAGGAGGAGGACGACGAAGACGACAUGGACGAGUUGGCGACGAGAGCGGCGACGACGCUACUCGUGAGUCCGCCACCGCCUUUUUUUGGGUGAAUCGUUCGGGAAUCGCGAAUAAUUCGCGAAUAAUUAUUUUUGAUAAAAAAAUGCAUCUUUUUUUGAAUUUUUCGAAAAAAUACGGAUACGGGCGUUUAAUUCGGUUAUUCAAAAAUUUGCAAACAAUUUGCAAAUUAUAUGCGAAUUAACUAACAAUGGGUGUCAGCCGUAGACCCCACCAUUAGAAAUAGUUCUUUUUUUUUUUUGCAAAGAUAGGUAGCAUGCUGGAAAUGUGAAUCAACUAGAAUUCAAAUUUAGAAGAUCGCGAAUACCAACCACCAAGUCUUACGAAAAUAUGUGUUUAGUGGCAGUGGGUGACUCGUAGCGCGAGUUGGUUUGUUCCGGGAUAGUUCGUGGGUCCCGGCGGAGUCCCGAUGCGGUUUUCGGGACUUCCGGCGUGUUCGGCAAUCGGUUUUGGGAAACCGAUUUCCUUAGAUUCGUUGGUGGGGAUUGUAAGUUAGCAUUUUGUGUUCAUGGGUUGGAUUCUAACUCGGUGGGCCCUUCGUAGGUCCGGUUGUUUCGUCUCCGCGGUCAAGGGUCCAGUGCCAGAUACGUAUAGGUAGGUACUUCGAUCCGAAGUCGGUACAGUGGUGCACGCUGGGUGAUAUCUUCUUAGCCUUACUUUCUCGUUAUUACUCCACAUGCAUAUAUUAUAUGUUGAGCCUAGCACCUAUACCAUAUUUCCUUAUUGCUCUACUUAGUUGUUUUACAUAUCCUGUUUCAUGUUUAGAGUAGAACAUUUGCGUGAUUAUUUGUGAUAUCUGUGACCUGGUUGGUCGGUUCCAGUAUCCCGUAUCUGUGACCCAUUGGUUCGGUUUAUUGCAAUGCUAUCGUGACCUAUUUGGUCGGUUGGACUAUUUGAUGACCUAUACGGUCGGUACGCCUUGAGGGGCAGGAUUGUCGGUAGUUGCCGACGGUUGGUUAUUGAGCAUAUCAGUAUUGAUCGCUCGAGACUCGUACGCAUUUCACGAACACCAGCUGUUUGAUCCACCGCAAGAGGGUGUUCUUUUUCGGAAAAGUGGUUCGAUGUGCCAACCCGUGAGCCCAGCUGUCAUGCCGUGGACUUCAGCGGAAGCUUACCAGUUACGUGCACAGACCCACCGUGUACACCACAACCUAAAGUGUACACUAGGCGUCUACAGUCAGCAUAGAAAAAGCAUAAUAUCUUAACCAGGUAAUCAAAGAAAAACUUAAAAGUUCAAAAACUUAUACUACACAUAACCUUAUUACAACUGAAUAGAACAAGUACAAUCUACAUAACCCAAUAUACAUCACUAAACUAAACUGCAUAAACUUGUAGAGGUUUGUCUAUUUAAAAUCGAGAAGGCUCUAGCUAGCCGCUGACCCCUCGCCGGGAACCCUAGCCUUUCCCACUGCGGAAGACUUUGCAUAAAAAUAAUCAACAAAAGGGCGUGAGAACUAUUAAACAAUAGUUCCUAGUAGGUAAGCUGCCGAGAGUGGUGAAGUAUACCACUAGGUCAACUGAGGCAUGUAUAAACAACAAUAAGUAAGUACAGUAAAUGCAACAAGUAAAUGAAGUAAAACAACUAUAGUAUGCCUCGCAAGAUAUGUUUUCUAACUUGUCUUAUGUACUAGUUUAUUAUAACAAGUUCUAUAAUACAUGCUAAUUAACAAUUUAAUUAGCUAUAUGUCAGGCUGUAUGCAAAAUAUCAUCAUUAUAAUUUAGCUAGCUAAUAUCAUAUAGCUAUUUCCCUAUCCUAUCAAGAGUGUAAACAUUCAGGAACUGUCACUAAACUAUUGACCAACAGGGAUGUCAAUCUUCUAGUAUGCUCAUUACUAGGUAUACUCAACUGAUGAUAUAAAAUAUCUUUACUACUAUGUCCAUCUAAGGUUAAAGUUCUUAACAUUAACCCAAUUAACAAGAGACUUACAAAUGGUAAAGUCCCAGCUCGUGUCGUGCCUAAUGGCCCGUGGAAGUCAACACUACCCACAACAAUCUACUUCGGAGCUCAGUCUCAGACGGAAGCAAGCAAUCUUUCGCUAGGCUAACUCCGGAGUACCGGCUUGUGGGGUGCGACCCUCACAAGCAUGUGUGAAUGAGCACAUCGGCAAGCAAGCAUAAUCCAUAGCAUAGAUAUCAUAAGUUCAUCAUAUCUCUAACAUGGAAUCUUAACUCGACACCAGGUCGACAAAUAAUACUAAGUCAUAGUCCACUAUCAACUACUUGGUGAUAUGUUUCUAGUAAUAGAUAGUAUGACUCAAAUAAGUACAUACUUUACAUCAUAUUGAUGAUUCUAACGGGCUAUACCCUCAUAUUCACAUAUAGUUCUCUCACUACUCUCUAUACAUAAGAAAAGUGGUUUACUGAGGUCAUAUUCAAUGGCUCCUUCUAGUAUUCAUAUGACUCAUGGCACAUAUUCUAUAGUUUUACAAAAACCUCCACUAUCUGGAGUAAACAAGUAUCAUGCAAGUAAUUUUUCUUGACUAUACAAGUAUGACAUCAUAUCCAAUUCUAGUUAUUUAACUAGAUUGUAUUCAAUAGUAUAACAUUCAUGUUAUAACAUAAUGCCCAGUUCUAGUUACUUAACUAGAUCAUAUAUAAGAACAUGAAGUUCAUGCUUUUUCUACCAUGUAAAAACGAUACUCAGCUUGUUAACGCAAUUAGGCGACGCAUCACAUAAGGUACUCUAUAUACAUGGUUUCUACACAAUUCAUUUCAUAAUCUAGAAUUAUAGCCUUGUUAAACAGAAUAUGCACAAAAGUCCUGUCAUCUUGUCUACAACAUGGGAUUGCAUAGUUUAGCUCGAUGGUUGAGAAUAAUAUUAUCCUAUUGACUUAGUUGUUCAUCUAAACUAAAUGUCAUCAUCAUAACCUUACCUCCAUUUAUCAUUGCAUGAUGUGAUAUUUCACUUGUCUAUACAAGUAUGCUACUAUCAUAUAAUGCAUGCUAAGCAAACAGGCGAUCUAUACAUAAUAAGCAAAUUCCAUAAUUUCAUCUCUACCAUAUAGAGGUUUCCUUUAAUCCAACAUACUAUGCUUGUUAUACAUGCAACAAGACAUCCAAACAUAGAUUCACAGGAAUAUGCAAGAAUUUUCAAUUCCAUAAUGUCAAAGAAGACAUGGAGGGAAUUCACCCAUUUCGGUAAGGUCAAACCCACCAAGUACUCGACGACUCUCGUCGACCCCAUGAGCGAGGACAAUGCGCAGCCUCCAAGCACCCUGACAAUCAAUCCAAAAUCAGCUAAGGGCUGAAUUUGUAUUUCUACAUCAAGGUUCACAUAAACAUCCAUAUAAUUAUCUUACCUAGGUAAUUCUUACCUAGUAUAGUGUUACGGUUGGAAUCUCAACCUUGAUUAAGGUUGGAACACCAAAUUCAACCUUAGAAAGCUCCCAAAUCUCAGCUAAACAAGAUCAACUGGUCCGCUGUGAACAUGCUGUCUAGUAUAAAAACUGCUUUAAAUUUAGAAUCAUCUCAUUCAACUAAGGAACUACUAGGUAAUAUACCCUUUCACAGCGUCAACUUAGCUUUUCCCCUAGUUUCGAAUUGAAGAACCACAACAAAACCUCUUCUACAACUGCUGGUACCUUCUCCCAAACUAACUGUAACAAAAGGGACCAAAAACAACUCAAAUCCACUACUGGUAUCAACUAGAGAGAAGAAUAGUAUCACUCACGUUACCAAGACUUCAAUUCAGCUACCUGCUGCUAGGGUUGGGGAAAACUUAGUAAAAUACCAUCUCCCACGUUCCAAGAGCUAACCCUCAAGUCUCUAACCCAGCCAACACAAGAGAGGGGAAGAAAAAUGAGCUCAAAUCACCAAAUCUCACUUUAAACACCUCACCCUAGAGAGAGUAAGAGAGGUAUUCAAAUCUGUUUCUCUCAGCUCAAGCAACUUUAGAAUAGCUGCAGGGGUUGUGCAGGGGGAUUAGAGAUAAGCUUGGGAAGUAAAAUGACCAAAACAGCCCUAAUGUCACGCAGUUGCUGUGCUGGGUACUGGUACCCAUGCGUUCUGGUACCGGUACUCAAUACAGAAUGUUGAAUUUCGCCGUUUCGAUGCACUUUUGCUCUUCCGGCUACUUCGUCACUUCAGUAACUUGCCGAAAACCUCCCAAUAACCCUUCAAAAGAUGUGGAAUAGUUUCAAUUACUAUUCUAACACUCGAACUUUGCAAUUUGCUAAAGUUCAGUGUACUACACUAGCGGCCUAGGCUAGGUCAAAUGCAGGUAGAGUGGCAGUGGGUACAGGCUUGAGGUUUGCGGUGUGGACCAACAGAGCAUUGGUUUCAGAUUGGGUAUUUUUGGACUUGUCGUCCGUCCGGUUGAUGCACACAUACAAUAACAGUAUUGCUAUUGUAUUUCACUUACCCAUAUUUUUGUUUAUCCUCCUUGACUGGUGAGCACCCCUCGCCCUCGUCGGCUUGCGGUACCUACUGAGAGGGGAGACAUGUUUAUAUGUUCUCACCCCCGACCCCCAUUAUAGGUGACGUUGCAGGUCCUAGUGGGACGGUUCGUGAGGAGCGAGUCUAGCGACCGAUAGUAUCACCGUCCCGUUGUUGGUUAAUUAUCAAAUUUAGCUCUUUAAAUAAAUGACUUAAACAGUUAAUUGGUUCAGUUACUUAUCACCUUUGAAUUCAUAUGGUUUUAUGAAUGUAAUAAUGAAUUUGGGAUUUAUGUGAAAUGGAAAUAGUUUUCUACCCCUCAUGGUAGCGAAUUUUUAAAGAAAAAAGGGUUUCCGUGUGGGAAACUAUUUUUAAAAGAUUUUUUUGGUUUUCACGGUUUAGUAUUUUAAAAUGAGUUUCCGGGUAGAAAAUAUUUUAAAUUGAUAAAAUAUGAAUUGAUGAAUAUUUGUGAUGAAAUAAAUAUGGUUAUGAACGGUNGGAAAUAGUUUUCUACCCCUCAUGGUAGCGAAUUUUUAAAGAAAAAAGGGUUUCCGUGUGGGAAACUAUUUUUAAAAGAUUUUUUUGGUUUUCACGGUUUAGUAUUUUAAAAUGAGUUUCCGGGUAGAAAAUAUUUUAAAUUGAUAAAAUAUGAAUUGAUGAAUAUUUGUGAUGAAAUAAAUAUGGUUAUGAACGGUGUAUGAUUAUCUGUGGAUGUUCAUAUGUGUGGUUGUAUUUGGUAUAGUAAAAUGUAUCAUGUACUUUUACGAUGCUGUGCAAAUACAGGGGAGAUUCUGUCCAAGUGAACAGUGGACUUCCUGUAUUUGUGGCGGAUAUGGCAUACCCUAGGGGUCAAUAUUUUUUUUAAAAAAAAAUUGGGCACUUCUGCAUGGAAUUUUAAAUCCAAAGGGACCCCGGGAUGUGACAUCAUCUCAGGUUCCUCUUUCUCUUUGGUUUAAUUGUGGGCUUGGUGGAGGCCGUAGCUCGAGCUCGAGAAAUUUUCGACGUCGAUUUGGAAGGUCGUUCCAGUGUGCGUGCAUCGCGGUUGCGUCGUUGGAGGCCGAGCGAGCGCGUGUUUUCCUCUCCUUUCGACUUCUCGCCGUUGUUGGACGAGCGUUUUGAGGUGGUUUGAAGUUUACCGAAAUCGUCGCAAUACCUUCUAAGUUUUAGCAUCAUCGACAUGUAUCGUUUGUGUAUUUCCUUGCUAGUACUCGAAUUCAUGGAUUAAGUGUUUAAAUCUGAAUUUGGAGUUAAGCUAGUUAUAUCAUUUUACAUGUUGGACUUGGAAUUGACUGAGGAGAAAACUAUAGAUCCUACACUGUCAUUUUCUAAAAAUUUUCAGAUUUAGCUUUAGGAGCUAUGGUUUGUUUCUAUCAUUGCUGUUUGUAUGCAAUAGUUACCCAGAUUAGUAUAGGGUGAGUUUAUGCUCGUGCUGGAAUGCCGAGCUUGUUUUACAGUAGUGUGUAGACUAUUUCGUAAUAUCCGGUGCUGUUGGGAUUGACAUUGGACCCAGAUUUCUGUAGCACCGCUGUUAGUGCGAGGUGGAUGCUCGGAUGAGUAUAGGUUGAGUUUACGCUCGUGCUCAGGAGCCGAGUUUAUUUUACAGUAGUGCGUAGACUGUUCCAGACUGUCGGAUGCUAUCACGGUUGACAGUGGACCCAGAUUUCUAUAUUUGUAUCAUAUUGUGCCGAGGGCACGUGAGUUUUGGUUAUUACAUCAGUUAAACCCAUUUUCUUUGAUUAUAGCCUGUGAGAGCCUGAUUGAGCUCGACAGAGACACGCUUACAUAUUCAGUUGGGUAGCGCCCACGAGUGCCACUUCGGAGUUGUGCUUUGUGCAUUUGCGUAGAUGUCGUAGUGUCCAAUGUGGACUUGCUCUUCACCAAUUACCCAGCAUGUUGGUCGUUGGUGUAGCUUCGACAGGCAGGACGGGUGCGUUCACAGUACCUAGUGAGAGUUGGUUAGAGGUUGCAUCAUUCUUAUAUCUACAAAAUAGUGUUUAGUGAUAGUAUAGUGGCAUGUAGCUUUAGAGUUUUUUCAGCUUCCUUUACUAUCCUUGUGCAUAUUUUUCUGUAGAAUUAGUGGGUGGGUUGUUGAGGUUGGUAGCGGUACCCACUGAGCACUACUUCUUCUUGCAGUAGUUCUCACACCCAGUUGUUGACCCUUUUUUGCAGAGCCUUCGUCCGUGGCUGCUGCUGUUGUUGUUUUGAAUCGUGGAAAGGGAGUUGUGAGCUAGAUUCCUUCCAGUCUUGCCGCAGUGCUAAGGAGUACCUCCUACAGAUAGUUUUGGAUUUUUUUUGUACAUAUAGUCUUAUUGUCUGGAUACUUGCUGGAGUGAGUGGUGUAGUAGACAUUUUGUAUGUACUGGAACCCUUGAGGUUAUAUAUUACUUUUCUAUUUAGCAGCUCUUUACCUUGUGGUUGUAGCUUCGAUUUGUUUACUAGUACAGCUAUCGCUUCGUAUACAGAAAAAAUUCCUAUUUAUACAGUGGGUCUGUUGCUGUGCCCAGAAAAAUAUGUAAUCCGGGGCGUGACAUUACAAAUUAUAAAUUUUAAAAAUUUAAAUUUUUAAAAUUUAACUAUUUAAUUAGAUAAAUAAUAAUAAAUUAUAAAUAGAUUAUUAUUUAAAUAUUUAUUAAUUUAAUAACUUAAAUAAGUAAUUAGUCAAUUAUUAAAAAAUUUAAUUAUAUUAAUUAAUUAUAAUUUAUAAUUAUUUAUAACUUAAUUAUUAGAGGAAUAAACUAGAGAAUAGUUUGUUACACCUAAUAGAUAGAAUUACUAUUCUCCUCUCUUAACGGGUUAUUCCGGAAUAGCCCGUUAACGCGGGAAUAAAUUAACAUGCUAAGUUUGCUUGGUGUUUGGCAAGAAUAGUAGGAUAAAAGGGGUUAUUCCCCUUUUAUCAUAUGUAACAUAUCGAAAUCCGGAAGAAAUUAUCGAACCUUAGCCAAAUUGGUUAAAGUUGUCGAAAGAAAAAGUUGGACAAGUUCCAAUUAGCAUUCCAACAAUAUUGGAAGGGCUAAAAUUGAGUUUAAGAGGUAUUAGAAAGGUUUUAGCAUUGAACGGCGCGAAACAGAAUCGAAAACGGUGCGAAAUUGUAUUCUGGAGCAAAGUGUACCGGUACAACUAGCGAGUUGUCAUCGGUACAGCAUUGCAGGCCGAGAAGGAAAAGCUCCCGGGUUUGAGAUAUUUUGCCUGUGUUACCGUUGACACCCCUGGUGUGUACCGGUACGCUUUGGUAAAACCUGUAAGAAUUGCUCUCGGGUUUCCCUCUGCGUAAUCGUGUUACCGGUGACACCUUAAAGUGUACUGGUACACUUUGGGUCUGACAGCAAAAUGAAAACGUACUGCUGCAAAUACAAGUGUUUGGAGAGCUUUUUGGCUAUUGUUACAACAUGUAAUAUACCCCCAACACCCCUCCUACCUGUUCUAAACAGCAACCACUCUCUCCCUCUCUCAUUUCCCUCUUUCUCUCUCUAGAAAACUCUCCAAUGAGUAAGGAGAGGAAGGAGAAGAAGGAUUUUUGAAAAAGUUUUGGUGGAUUUGAAGGCUUUAGAAGCUCUUCUACAAGGAGGACUUGGGGAUAGCUUGUGGCUAAGGUGAGUUUAUGCAUGAACUCCUUUAGGGUUAGGAUUCUUACCUUAAGUUUUGGAGUUUUGAUCCUCUAAUAACCCUAUAAACGUCGAACGAACCUUGAAAUCCAUGAAAAUCAUGAUUUUCUCAAGGUCCUUCCAUGGUGAACAUCUAGGGUUUAAAGUAGAUGCCCUAGGAUUGGUUCGAGUGGCUUGGAAAUGGUAUUAGAAAGCUUCAUGGGUGGUUCUAAGCUUAAUUUUGCUUAGUUAUAAGAUCAAUCCUAAGAAAUUUUGCAAAUGGCAACAUUAGGGCACCCAAUUUGGAGCUUUUGCCUCCGAAUGUUUUUAAGGCAAAUUGACCUUGUAAAAACCUAAUUAGGGGUAUUCCCGACGCAUGGGACAACUCCGUUUGACGUUACGAAAAGAUUUAGAUGGAGUUAUUGAGAAAAAGCCUAAUUUGGCUUCGUUUUGCCACAGGCGAGAAAGUAAGGCUUCAAAAAUUUCAGGAAAUUCAUUGUAGCAUCCCUACAACCAUCUAAGGUGGGUGGUGCAUUCCAAGGACCUCGAAAUUUCUUUUAUAUCUAAAGUGUCACAUUGAGCAUAUGUAUGUAUUUGAGCAUAUUGCAUAGUAGGGUAAUUGUAAGCUUCCUUUGCAUGUUGUGAGUUCAAAUGCAUGUGAAAUACUUGUAAGAAUGUGAGAAUUCUAUUUACCCUAUGUAUGCAUGAGAAAUGACAAGAACUUAGUAGCUUUAGAGAACAAAAGUGACAUGUUGACAUAAUUAUAGAGAAUGGCAUCAACGAAUCGAGAUAUGCUAGAGUUGACACUUAGAAAACAAGUGUGGCAUCAAUGAAUGAGUACAAGAACUAGUAGUGUAUAUGACACUAGUAAAGGUUAAAGAAUGCAAGUAAAUAGAGGUAGCGACAUUAUGACAUAACAACCUUAGAGUUAAGGGUCAAAUGUGCAUUGUUUCCUUAUAGUUAAGGAAUGGAUUUGACUUGACAUCCUUAUAGAUAAGGAUAGGAUCAUACUCACCUGUAAGUCCUUGCUCGAGGGUGGUAGCUUCCCCUCGGGCGAUGUGCUCCAGAGUUGUCAUUACCGGGUCGUAGCGAGUAUCUCCCCAGAGGACGGUCCCAUCGAGUUGUAGUGGGUAUCUCCCCGAUAUUAGGAAUUUGGUUGGUGAGUCAUUGAGGGCGAAACCUAAGGGUUAGCCAAGAAAUUGGGUAAUGAGAUUGUGACCUUGCAUUCAACAUGAGCAUACAAUUGAGCAUCGCAUUUAUUAUUGUUCAGGCAUAUUAGCUGCAUUUGUAUAGUUUGGUUACUAUCUAUAUCUCUUUUCUUCUAUUAUGCCUGAUUUAGACCUAGUGGGAAAGUCGGCGUGGUUGGUUGCCGAACCCACUGGAAACUUCGUUGUAGUUCUCACACCCCAUUUUCCACAGAGCCCGGACCGAGUGAGCCGACGGAUGAUCGCCGUAAGGGCAUCGCGCCCUAGAUAGAGACCACCCGAGACGGUUUCUCAUUUUGGUUUAGUUGCAUACCCUUUAGUUGCCAUNUUAGACCUAGUGGGAAAGUCGGCGUGGUUGGUUGCCGAACCCACUGGAAACUUCGUUGUAGUUCUCACACCCCAUUUUCCACAGAGCCCGGACCGAGUGAGCCGACGGAUGAUCGCCGUAAGGGCAUCGCGCCCUAGAUAGAGACCACCCGAGACGGUUUCUCAUUUUGGUUUAGUUGCAUACCCUUUAGUUGCCAUCUUUUGUAUUUUGAUGAUUUUAGGAUUAUGAACUUGUUAAAUGAAUGAUGUAAAAAGGGGAUUAUGUUUCAAUGCAAACUUUAUAUUUUGAGAUAUCAUGUGAUGUAAAAGAGAAGAAAUGAUGCAAAAAUAUAAGCGAUUUUCCUAAGUGUAGUUUACUACUUUUACUAUUGGCUAUUGUUUGCCCUCGUGCAAGCCAUUGUGUAUGCUUCCGCUUAUGCAAAUUUUAUACUCUAUCUAUACCUGUUGUUGAGCCUUGGGCAGAUGGGGGAGGCUCUGUCCGUUCGGCGUCUGUUUGACGCUGUCGAACCGGCCAAAAGGAUCGGGCUCGGGGCGUGACAUCCCACAACCAAACGGGGCCGAUCUCUUGAUCUCCUUCCUCUCUCUGAUCCUCCUCUGACUCUGAUCUUCCUCGUCCUCUACUGCUGGUAGUAAUUACAACAAAUAAUCGAUGAUGUAGAUGAAAUUGAUACGAGAAUUAAUUAUUAAUUAAUGUAUGAUGAUUUGGGAGGAGGGGCGGAUCGUCUCGAUCCACCCAUUAAUGCCGUUGGCGAGAGCAACGGCCGUCGGGCCAUCUGUGGCUCCUCUGCUAUGCUAUUCUUCCGCACUCUCUGCUCCGGACCAAAUAUUUUGCCUUCCCUGCACUCCCCCCCCCCCAAAAAGAGAAUAAAAUAAGUCCAAAAUAUUUGAAUUUGAAUCAUAGAACUUAUGAAAUAUUGGAUGUAGUCCAUAAGAUACACUAAUACGCCCGGUGUAGGCUACUACUUGAUCAUUUGACUGAGAGAGAUAAUUACUUGUUACUUAAAAAAUUUGUGUAGAGACUACCAUUUUUCUAUAUUUAAUACUUGUAUUUGAGAUCUUGAUGUAUCUACUCAUGGUUUUUGUUAGUUAAUUAGAUCUUUUAUAUUCUACUUGUAAUUAGAAUUUAGUUGUUGUAUGCUCUGAUAUCAUACUAGCAGUUUAUCUUUCUUGCUUAAUUAUAUUAUGGUUGUAGACGCCUUGUAUGUUAUUAGCAUAUGGCGGGUCUGAACACGCACCAAGCAGGCUUCCGCUGGGUCCCGGGGAGUGACAAUUACUACCAGUAGUAGAUGACGAGGAGGAUCAGAGUCAGAGGAGGAUUAGAGAGAGGAAGGAGAUCAGAAGAUCAGUAACAAGUAAUUAUUUCUCUCAGUCAGAUGAUCAAGUAGUAGCCUAUACCGGGAGUAUUAGUGUAUCUUAUGGACUAAAUCCAAUAUUUCAUAAGUUCUAUAAAUCAAAUUCAAAUAUUUUGAAUUUAUUUUAUUCUUUUUUUUGGGGGAGGUGGGGGAAGUGCAGGGAAGGCAAAAUAUUUGAUCUAGAGCGGAGAGUGCUGAAGAAUAGCAGAGCAAAGGAGCCAUAGAUGGCCCGACGGCUGUUGCUCUCGCCAACGGCUUUAAUGGGUAGAUCGAGACGAUCCGACCCUCCUCCCAAAUCAUCAUACAUUAAUUAAUAAUUAAUUCCUGUAUCAAUUUCAUCAGCAUCAUUGAUCAUUUGUUGUAAUUACUACCAGUAGUAGAGAACGAGGAGGAUCAGAGAGAGGAAGGAGAUCAGAAGAUAAUGUUAUAAAAUUUUUUAAGUAACUAGUAGUUAUUUCUUUCAGUCAGAUGAUCAAGUAGUAGACUACACCAGGCGUAUUAGUGUAUUUUAUGGACUACAUCCAAUAUUUCAUAAGUUCUAUAAUUCAAAUUCAAAUAUUUUGGAUUUUUUUUGGGGGGGGGGGGCGGUGGGUCAAAGUNGGAAGGAGAUCAGAAGAUAAUGUUAUAAAAUUUUUUAAGUAACUAGUAGUUAUUUCUUUCAGUCAGAUGAUCAAGUAGUAGACUACACCAGGCGUAUUAGUGUAUUUUAUGGACUACAUCCAAUAUUUCAUAAGUUCUAUAAUGAGAAGGCAAAAUAUUUGGUUCGAAGUAGAAAGUGUGGAAGAAUAGCAGAGCAGAGGAGCCACAGAUGGCCCGACGGCCGUUGCUCUCGCGGCCUUAAUGGGUGGAUCGAGACGAUCCGACCCUCCUAGCUCCCAAAUCAUCAUACAUCUAUUAUCUAUCUUCUAUCUUCUAUUAACUAUUACUAGUGAAGGACCCACGCAUUGCGGUGGGACGACUUCGUAGAAAUAAAUAAAUAAAUUUAAAAUAACAAAAUAAAAAGUCAAAGAAUUAUAUAAAAUAAAUAACUGAAAAAUAAGUAACUAAUUAAAGAUUGAGGAAUUCUCUAAAUUAGCACUUGAACCGAACUGAAUCAAUGAUCUGCCUAUAUAAUUUUGUUUUGUGUAUGAAAACCGAACCAAUUAAAUCUGAAAACCGAACCAAUUAAAUCUGAACCGAAGAGCUGUUGUCUCUAAAAAUCUGUACCGAACCAAUUAACUGACUCUCUCUAAACCGAACCGAACCGAACCAAACCAUUCACUAUCUAAACUUCUCAAACCGAACCAAUAAACUUCUCAAACCGAACCAAUACACGCUUGCUUCUUCUCCGCUCGAAACCAUAAGUCGCUUGCUUCUUUUCCGCUCGAAACCGUAAGUCGCUCCGCCUCCUCACGACCUUGAUUCUUUUCAUGUUCUUCUCAUGUCCGUUACAGUAAAUCACUUCCCCUCCGUGCGACCUUGCUUCUUCUCCUGUCCGUUACAUUAAAUCAUUUCUUCUCCUCUCAAUGCCGCAGCAUCCAUCCCCUAUUUUCGUUUCAGACGGGAUCGACGGGAUCGUGCUCAUAAAAUUUACCAUCGUUUUAGAUGGAUACUCUCCUCUACCCUGGCCGAUUUUUGCCUAUAAAAUCUGUCCAUGCCUCGCAUCGAAACCAGCGUCUUAUGCUAUUAUCCCGAAAUUUGAACGGUAAGAAAUUAGAAAUUUAGAUAUUCAGUUCAAAUCUUUCUUUUUCUUAUAUAAUAUGAUAAUAAUAAUAAUUUUAUUGUUUUAUCCUCAAGAAUCGACGCUCCUAUUUAUAAUAUCUGGACGUUUCCUUCUUGGUAGGCUUUUGUGUUCAUAUCAAAUCUUUCUUUCUAAUAUAAUAUAACUUUAAUUGAUAUUAUUGUCUUUUUAACUUUCGGUGAAAUUUUAAUUAAAAAAAAGGAUAAACUUCAAAUACCACCCUUGUGGUUUCGCACUUUCUUACUUUAGUACCCUGUGGUUUAAAGUGUAUCAAGUUAGUGUCAUGUGGUUUCAUUUUUAUCUUUUCGUCAGUUUUUCUGUUAAUAUUUCGUUAAAUUAUUAUAUACAAAAAACUUCAAUACCCCAUCUAGAUUUAUUGAAUAUUCACUUUAGUAUCCUUUAGUUUUAACUAUGUCACUGAUUUAACGAAAAAAUUAGUGAAAUCAAUAAUCAAAAGAUAAAAAUGAAACCACAUGGCAGUAAAUUGAUACACUUUAAACCACAGGGUACUAAAACAAAAAAGUGUGAAACCACAUACCUCAUGGUUUAAAUCAUAAUACAUUAAAAAUUUGAGGAUUAAAUUGUUAUUCGUUUUAUAGUUUUAAGGAUGAAAGUGUAAAUCCAAUCUUUCAAAAACUUUUUUUAUCCAUUUUUUUAUAUAUUUUAAAUUUUUAUAGUACAAAAUAAAAAAUUAGAUUAGACUUAGAAAAAUUAUAAAUUUUCUUCUAUGUACAUGAACAAAGGAAAAAAAAUUGAAGUUAGAGGGGAAAAAACAACCUCUCUCCUCUCUCCCCCGCUAGGUCCCCGCUGGGUCCCACCUUGUCCCAGAUUGGAUUUAAAAAAAAUAAAUGAGGGAACAAUUGAGAUGAGAGAAAAAAAAACUUCCUCUUCACACCCUCCCCUGGCUAGGCCAAAAAUUAUAUAAAAAAAUAACUAAAAAAUGAACAAUUAUUAUGUAACACACUGGACCUUUGCAAAUUACGAGGUUCGAGUGUUUGGCCUGUGUUUCGAGCAUUUCUAGAUUUUCUGGACGUUCGUUGACCUUGUUCCGACCUAUGGCUCGUACCCCGAGAAAUGAAGUUUCUAUAGUAGAGCUAAGGCCGCCAAAGAGGAGAACUUAGGCUGCUCUCGGGUUGCCUCUGCACACUGUUGUACCGGUACAAAUACGGUUCUGUACCGGAACACAUUGUGUACCGGUACAGAUAUGGCUCUGUACCGGUACAAAUAUGGAAAAUAGCAAACCCGAGGCUCGGGUUGGGCUGUAUGGCAGGGGUUGUAUCGGUACACUUUCCCGUGUAUCGGUACACUUUGCCCAGAAUGUUGAUUUCGUAGAUGAGGCUUUUUGCAAUUGUUGCAACUCUAUUUAUACCCACCCCAGCCCCUUUGAGAGCUCCUUUGAGCCCUAGAACGUGGAAAGGAGAGGUAAGAACUCCUCUCUUGAUUUUUUUUCCCUUUUUUCUUGCAUUUUAGCCCUUCUUGAUCUUCUCUCUUUGCUUCCCUUUGUUCCUUGUGGGGAUUUCCACCUUGGAGAAGCAUUGGAUUGAAGAUUGGAGCUUGUGGGAAGGAAGAUCUUCAACCCUAGCCUACUUGGAGGGUUGAUUUGGAGCUCUUGUGAGGUUAGUAAGCUUAAAUCCCCCUUUUGAUCUAUGUUUAUUGGUUUUUGUUGUUGGAAACCCUAGAAUUGAGAAUUAGGGUUAGAAUUGGGGAUUUUGGUUUAGAUGCUUUUAGAACCAUAUUGAAUGGUUUAGAACCUUUGUAUAGGUUUGAUUAGAAGGCCUCUACCUCCCAUUUGGAGAUCGAGAGGGCUUUCUUCGCAUUCGGUGAGUUUUCUCACCCUUUUCUUGAGUUGCUUAAUGUUUGAGCAAUAGGUUGUUCGUUUCGAUUUUAUAACUCUCCUUUUUAUACCUUUAGGGUGCUAGGAGACUAGUGGGCACCUUCGUCAGUUUAAACGAAGGGUUGCGAGAGGUCACGGUGGGUUUGGCUUCUUUGAAAGAGGAGAAAAUCUCUCCUAAGUGGUUAAAUAUUUUCGUAUCAUCGAAGUGCAUUCAUAUUCAUGCUAGAUAGUAUUUUUAUGAAUUUUAGAAUACUUAAAAUGCAUGUGUUAUGUAUCAUGAAUUUUCAUCUCUAUGUAGUAGAGCCUAUGUGUAGUAAACAUGCAUGUGAGAAGUAUUCUCUUUUGUGGAUCGGAACCAUGUCUCAUGUGAUGAAUAUGACUAGAAUUAUGCAUUCUUGAACAGUAAACUCAUAUUUGUACUUAGUGAAUAAAAGUGUCAUAAAGGGGCACUCGGACUGGUAAACAGUUAAACUGCAACCUAGUGACAUAGUGAUAGGCCAUUGAGAUAUCGACUAUAUUCCAUGUUUUACACGUGAUGACAUAGUGAUAGGCCAUAGUGACACUUACUAUAUUCUAUGUUUUAGACAUGAUGACUUGAGACUUGAGACAGACUGUUACGCUUGCUUGCCAUUGUGCUCAUUCGCAUAUGCUUGUGAGGGUCGCUCUCUACAAGCCAGCACUUCGGAGAUAGCCAUCGCGAUAUAUACUCGCCGUGCGGGAUUGGGCGCCGAAAUGGGAAGCCGUGGGUGAGGCUCAUUCCUAGAGUGGGGAUGUUGACUAUAAUGGGGCCAUUAGGCACGGCGCAGGCCGGACUGCCCACGGGUAGGUCCUACAUGAUUGGUACCUUGGUGCCUUAGUAUACUGAGAGGACAUUCACUAGAAUAGUAAACAAUGCCAACUUACUAUUUACCUGUGGACAUAGUAGCAGUUUUACUUAUGCAUAUACAUGUUACAGUAGCUUUCUUACUUAGGCAAAUUCAUGCUAAGUAGAGAUAUCAUGUUGUAGUAAGUUUUAUGUUUAUUUGCUUACCCUUCAUAUUGGUCAUAUUUGUACUUACCCCUUCUUAGCUUUUGGGCCUAGUGGUGCAUUUCACCGAAGUCAGUAAUUGCCUACUGGGAACUAUUAUUUAAUAGUUCUCACGCCUCCUGUUUUAUGUUUUCUUUCAGAGCCCUCUACACCGGUGGAGGCACAGGACCGCGGUAAGGGGAUCGCUUGCUAGAUAGCGAGGAGUUCUUUUGCUUUAGGUGGUUUGUUCUCUCCUUUUGUGUUGUUUGAGAGAAAGUGAUAGUUGUAUCCAUAUAUAGAGACCACCUAUGUUAUACUUUUAGCACUUAUUUUUUUUGGGAUAUCCUUUGUACUACUUUAUGGUUCUAUUUAGUAGAUUUUAGCUUUCUUUUAUGCUUCUAUAUCUUAGACUCUAGAUGUUGUAUACUCUGAUACUUCUAGAUGUUCUUCCAUUCUUGCUUUAUUUAUCGUUUUGUAUUAGACGCCUUAUAUGUUGUAUACGUAUGACGGGUCUGGACACGUACCGGGCGGGAUUCUGCUGGAUCCCGGGGCGUGACAUAUUACUGUAAUAAAAAUAUAAAAAUAAAUUAUAAGAAAGAUUAAAAAAAAGGUCAAAAAUCAUAUUAAUAAGAAAUUAUAUAUAAUUAUAUUUAUAAUUAUAUAUAUUAUAAUUAUUAUUAUAAUUAUAUAUAAUUUUUAAAAAAAAUGAUUUAUUAUUCUUAGAUUUUUGCCUCUAUUCUUCUUUUAUCUAUCUUAUCAUUUUAUUCUUAUUUUUUUUUUACUUUUUUUAUAUUUUAUUUGUAAAUUUCCUUCCUUACUUUUUAUAUAUUUUUAAUAAUUCUUUUAUUCAGCUUAAUUAAAAUUUAUAUUUAAUACAAAUAAUUUAACUUAUUUAAAAAUUAUUUAUAUAUUUUUAAUUUUUAUAAAAAUUUAAAAAAUUAUAAUUUUUUUUAAUCAUAUAUUAAGAGAAUAAAUAUGUAAAAAAAUUAAGGCCAAUUUGCAUAAAAAAUUCACUUAUUUUGGGUUUUUGCAAAACCGGGCCACCUUUUUCGUUUUUGCAAAUUCGGUCCGCUUUUUCAGCAAACUGACCAAAAUACCCUUAUUACUUUUUCUCUUUCCUCUUUCUCUCUCCUCUUCGUUCUCUCGUUCUUUUUUUUUUUUUUAGCCGACAAAAAAAAAGCGACGGACGAGCAACGCCCAAAGCGGGCUCUUCUUCUUCUUCCUUCCUGCAGGAACGAAUUUUUUUUCUCUUUUUCUUUCUUCUUCUUCUCGCUCUGCUGGAGCUUUUUUUUUUUUUUUUUUUUUUUUUUUUUUUUUUUUUUUUUUUUUCCCUCCUUCUUCCUCUUCUUCGUUCGUCUUUUUUCUUAACCUGUAAGAGCACGGGGCGGCACAAGCGACUUCCGGCUCGGCCACGGAGCCCGACGCUCGAGCCGACGCCCCGUAGCCCGCGGGAAGCUCUAUUUCCUCGUCGAACUCUCCCCACGCGACCUCGAGCACGACACGACACGCCGCGAGGUCGCGCACCGGCGCCGGCGCCGGCGCCGCGCGUGUCCUACUAGGUUGCCCGAGGAAGGCCGCGCAAGUCGGACUACGAGCCGACCGCUCGCACCGACGCCCUGCAGCCGGGGAGCCUACUUCCUCCCCGCGCCGACCCUUGAGCCCCACCACUCCAGCGCGAUUUCACUAUUACAGCAUUAAAUGUGAACUAGCACCAUUAAUGUGUAAUUACACCAUUAAUGGUGUAACCAUUACACGGCAUAAUGGUGUAGUUUCACCAUUAAUGGGUAAUGGUGAAAUGCCGCGGCGGCGAUGGCGCCCGCCGGAUGCCGAGCUUCGCCGCGGAGCUCGGGGCGCGCCGCGCCCGCGCACGGGGCUGGUGCACGGCGGGGCGGCCUGCGGCGUCGGGUCGAGCGAGGCGGCGGGGGAGGUCGGGUCGCCGAGCUCGAGGUCGGCCGGUGACGCCAACAGCCUCCCUCUCCUCGCCGUCCGCCAAUAGCGGAGGAGCGCACGUCGCGAUCCGGCAGUCGCGGCGGGCGCUCGGCUUCCCGGUUGCUGAGUCUCUUCGUAUGGUGUUAAUGGUGGGCACCUUACACCAUUAAUGGUGAAUCACACAUUAAUGUGUAACCAUUACACAUUAAUGGUGUAAUUUUCACCAUUAAUGGUGUAGAUGUGAAUCUGGGCGCGGCGGUGGUCGGGCUCGGGGGGCGCGGGGGAGGAAGUAGAGCUGCCCGGUUGAGCAGGGCUGUCGGGGUCGAGCGUCGGGCUCGUAGUCUCACGCGCUGGCCUCCUCGGAACUAGUAGGAACGCGGCGGCUUGCCGGGCCGACGCGCGCCGGUGCCGGUUGCCGCCCGUCGUGGCGGCGGUCGGCCGGUCGGCGCGGGGGAGGUCGACAGGAGGAAGUAGACUUUCCCCAGGCUUGAGGCGGGUGCGUCGGGGGUCGACGCGGUCGGGCUCCGUGGCGAGGCGAAAGUCGCCGUGCGCGCCCACUGCAUCUUAUAGCGAAGAAAAAGAAGAAGAAGAAGAAGAAGAAGAAGAGGGAACAAAAAAAAUAAAAGCUCGCAGCAGGAGGAAGAAGAAGAAGAAAAGAAAAAGAGAAAAAAAAUUGCUCCUGAAGACAGAAGAAGAAGAGCCCGCCUGGUGGUGCUCCGAGCGGUCGCUUUUUUUUCGGCGAAAAAAAAAAAAGACGAGAGAACGAAGAGGAAGACAGAUAGAUAAGAGGAAAGAGAAAAAGUAAUAAGGGUAUUUGGUCAUUUGCUAAAAGCGGACCGAAUUUGCAAAAAGAAAAAGGUGGCCGGUUUUUGCAAAAACCAAAAUAACUGAAUUUUUUAUGACAAAUUGGCCAAAAAUUAAAGAAAAAACAUUAAAGGGAGAAAAAGAGACAAAAAAAAAAAAAAAAAUCCCUCCGCCUCUCCUCGUACUCUCCCUCGGCUGGGCCCCACCCUUCUGCUCUCACUCUCUCUCUGCCUCUCCCGUCGCCUCUCCUCGCCCGCAUCCUCUCCCCGCCGCCACGCGGGCGCCCCGCCGCGCGCGCAACCGCCUUUUCGCCUCCUCCUCUCCCGCGCGCGCCGCUCGUCGCGUGCACACGCGCCCGGCCCGCGCGCGCCCGCUCUGCCGCUCCCCCUCGCGCCGCGCCCCGCGCUCGCGCUCGCCCCCGCCCGCGCCACGAGGCGCCCCCUCCCCGCUGCGCGCUUCCUCUCCUCUCACCGUUUCGUACGAUACGCCGUUCCCUCUACCCUUUCCACCCCAUCGUCUGUCUCUCUUCCUUCUCCGCCACAUACGAUGGAUCCGAUGAGAUGGAUCCAAAUCUCAUCAAAUCUGCCCUCUCCUCUCACCGUUUUGUACGGUCCGUCGUUUCCUCUCCCUUUUCCACGGCAUCGUCCCUCUCCCUUCUUUACCGCAUAUGAUGGAUCCGAUGAGAUGGAUCCGAAUCUCAUCAAAUCCGCCGCUCUGCCUACGAUUCAUCUUGCCUACUAUUAAUUUUUUUUCCUUAUAGAAUAUGCUAUUGUCUUUCUUUUCAGGAAUCCGAAAGCUUUUAGAUGAGACGUGCAGUGGCAAAAUGGUCAACGAAUGGGUUUUUUAGGUAUCUCUUCAUCUCAUACUUAAUUUGUGGAUUUGCAUAUUAUACAUUUGAUGUAGUGAUGAAUCUUGUUGGUUGUUUGGCUAUAUAAUUUUCUGAAAUGUUUAGAUGGUUAUUUUCGAAAACUUUUUAAUUCAUAAAAAUUUUGUAGCUUUUUAAUUGAUAAAAAUUUUGUUAGCUGAACAAAUUAUCAUUCUUUUAAGUCAUAUUUCAUUCUUUUCAAUGUUUGGUUAAUCAAAGUUAUGAUUAUGACGAUUGAAGGUGCUCAACCGUAUUAUUGUGGAAGGACGAAAGUAUGGGAUUGAAUUGAUUCUUAGCUUAGUCAAUAAUCUAAAACAUUACAGUGGGAAGAUGCAAUAUAUUAAAUAUGCGUGAGACAAAAGCAUAGGAUUGAGCUCCUCAAAUGAUUCUUUCUUCUUUGAUCUAUCGAUUUGGAGAUAUUCAAGAUUUAUUAGAGGGUAAUAUCAGCCCGCUGAUAAAUAUGUACUAAAAACAGUUUAUUGCUAAGUUGCAAUCGAAUUUAUUUGGGAUUCUCUGAGAAAUGAACUUUAAAUAUAAAAAUAUAAUGAUAUUUGAUCCAAUAUCAGAUACUUCUUAGACGAUGCUAACAAAGAAAAACCACUUGGCUAGAACUGAUAGAGAUAAUCCCAUCAUCUUUACAUGGGAAUCAAUGAAUGAACCUCAUUGUAUAUCAGAUGCAUUUGGUGACACCUUUCAAGUAAGUGCUCUCAAUUUGUUUUUCUUUUUUUAGAAAAAUAAGUGUCCUUAAUUUCAUAUCUCAUUGAUGUGUCAUAAAAUAUCAUGUCACCUUGUAAUAGAAGCGCAAUAGAUAAUAAUAGUACAUUGUGAGUUUCAAUUGAUAUUUUUUGCUCUAAAGAAUUGUAGGAUUGGAUUGAAGAAAUGGCAGAAUAUGUGAAGUUGUGGGAAUAUAUUGACAAGGGUAUUUAUGCAAAGAAAGGAAAAUAGAAAAAAAAAAAAAAAAACUGUCCAAACUGGUUUAUUUCAGUAGUGCCUACGUAGUAUUUGAUAGAAUAACUAGAAAAGCUAGGAGGAGGAGGCUAUAUUACACUCCUGGUCCUCAAACUAUAAGUUGCACAACACUUUGGUCUUCAAACUUAAGUACAUGAUGAUGGUAGUAUUGAGACCGUUUUACAUCUACUUGUAAAUUCAUGAAGAAGAUGGAUAAUGUAAAAUUACCAAUAAUGUAAAAUUAUCAAUUUGUAGAUACUAAUGUUCAUUGCAUAUUAAAAUAAUGAGAGAAUGCUGUGAACCAUGAAAAUUGUGUAAGAUUGUAGACUUAUCGCGUAUCUCUAAAAUAACAACUGUACACUGAAGGAAAAUAUCGUGGAUUUAAAAAUAUUCACACUAUAUGAAGUCUAAAGUUUAAUCAGAGUGGAAUUAAAUGUUUUAUACCCAGUUUUUCAGUUUUUAGGCAGAGAGAUUUUCUGAAUUCUAUGAAGUAUGCAAAGGUAUUCAUAUCGGACGACAAGAAAUAUUGUUGAAAAUUGAAUACGUUCGACUUUGAAGCUAUGACUUUAUUUCUAUUUAUGCUAUCAUCAUCAUCAUCAUUAGUGGUAGUAGUUAUUAUUGUCGUUAUUGACUUGGUGCUGGUUAUUGUGCUCCUCCUCUAAAGAUGACAUCAUAAAUUUUUAAUUUAUUUUAAAAAAAUGCAGCCCCCAAAAUCAUUUCUUAUGGCUAUAAUUUGAAAUUAGAUCUUUGAUAGUUCGUAAAAAUUAGGUUUGAAAAUUAGAUCUUUUAUUGACAUGAAGAAGUAAAUGAAUAGAAUUCCUCAAUUGGGCAUUUUUCCGAAAUGCUUAGGUGGUUAUUUUCGAAAGCUUUUUAAUUCAUAAAAUUUUUGUAGCUUUCUAAUUCAUAAAAAUUUUGUUACCUAAACAAAUUAUCAUGCUAUUAAAUCAUAUUUCCUUCUUUUUAAUGUUUGGUUAAUCAAAGUAAUAAUUAUGAUGAUUGAAGGUGCUCGAUUGUGUUAUUGUGUAUAUAUAUAUAUUACAUGACAUAUCAGUUCAUUUUUAUUCCUAGAAUCAUCUACCUUUUUUGUAAGAUGCAUGCCAUUGUUGCAGCCUCUAUGGACCUCUAAUUAUCAUGCGAAAAUGAUGAACUCAAUUUAUAAUCUUAUACAAGAAAGCAAAAUAUUGAAUUUUUGGCCACUAUCAUUUAUUCCGCUUUAUUAUUUUCACACUGUUGUGAUUUAUUUAGAGUUCUGAAGUAACAGCAUGUAAUUCUCAAUUUUCUUUAAUUGCACUUCAAUUUGUAAAGCACCGUCAAAGCAUGAAGAUGAUGACUUUCAGGAGUAAAUUGUGGUUUUUGGGUAAAGUGUUCCUUCAAUACGGGAUUAUUAGAAGUGUUUUAGAGUUUCAAGAAUGCCGCUCUUUUUUUUUGGGGACAAUUUUUGUUGUCAUAAAUGUCAGAUAGUGAUUUUAUUUCUUUUUGGUGCAUCCAAAUUAGCGAUUGAUGAAAUUUUGUGCAAUUUUUUCCGUUGAAAAGAAUUUGCAUGAGACCAAACUCAUUUACUAAGGUUGAUUAGACAAACUAAUUCACAUUUCUGAUAUUUUUUUCUCAAGAUUAUGGUUGGUUCAUCAAAAGAUUACUUUGAACCAUCAAGUCCCCUACUUUGUUCUUUUCAACAGCUCCCAUUAGCAAAGCCGAAGCCAAUGAUGGUAAGAGUAGUUUGACAUUAAUCUUUCUAAGUCGUUUGAUAAAUUUGAAUACUUCCACACUUUAUUCCUAAUGUCGAUUGAUAAGAAUAUAGCUUAUUUUGUAUGAUAUAGUGUCGCCAUUUUUUGCAAAAUUUUCAACAGAUAUCACAAUUUGACUGCACAUAUUUUGAGCAAAAACACAUUACAUCCCUAUUCCCUCCGAAAGUUGAUCAUGUUUUAGGAGGCCUUAAACCAUUCUUUCUUUCUUUUUUUUUUACUUUAAUUUUCUUUUAAUUGACACCUCUGUAGCUUCCAAUUAUCUUAUUUAUUUAUUUUUAUUGUUAAUUAAUUUAAAAUAUUUUGUUAAAUUUUAUGGUCAAUUAGUUAUAAACCCCAAUAGCCUGCCGCAUCUUUGCCUUCCUCUGCUCUCUACCAACCUUUGUAAGUUCUACUCCAUCUCUGUCUAUUGUUGUGCACUUCGUUUAUUUGUAUAUAUCUAAAAAGUAGUCCUAUACUUUGGUUGAUUAUGGAAAUUAAUCUGUUAUGUAGUUUCUUUUUUUAUCGCGUAUAGUUAUAAUAAAUACUAUUCAAAAUUUUAAUUUGGAAUUCUUUAUUGACACAACAUUAAUUUUUCAGACUGAUACAUAUAAUAGUGAUCUACAGUGCAAUGCUCCAAUGUAAAGCCUUUUAUAUUCGUUAUCAAUUCUCAUGUGGCUUUCAUCUUUUAAGAGAUAGCUCUGUAUGUUAAUUUUUGUCAUCCAAUUCCUAUGCUUUAGAAUGCUCCCACCAUUUAUUUGUAUACAUUCAUGUUUUCCCAUGCAAAUUCUAUGCAUAAGAAGGUCGAGUUAAGUUCUUUGAUCUUGCUUAGAGUUUGAUACAUAUAUGUAUAUGCAUACUAUGAAACCUUUGGAAGAAGAGUAUGCAAAAGCUAUCAAAUUAACGCGCAAAAUGUCAAAGUACCAAAAAAGUACAAAGAUGCAAAAAAUAAUCCACAAAGACACAUAGGAAGAAGCCAAAAUGGACUGCAGUUUGAGUAGUUUCUUCCCUUUCUUUGAGUUGGCAUGCUGUCGGUUUUCAAAUUCUUACUUUGAUUGCCGUUAAAAAUUCUUUGUUUCUAUCUAUUCCGUUAGGUUUUCUUCCUACUUUUUGAAGUUUGAAUUAUGUUGGUGUGCACUUUUUUCAAGUCUCUUUGGUUUGUAAUGGGCCUCAUUAUUUCUCCAACUAAUUAGUUUUUUUUUUAACCUUUGAACUUCAUUUCUCAAUUAUUUACACUGAAGUGCUCAAGCUAUUAAUUUGACACAAGUGCAAUUAUAACUAUGUAGGUUCCAACCGUGUCUAGAUGUUCAUCGAGUUGGUAGUUCAUCCACUAUGUAACCUUGCGCUACAUUCAUCAUAUGCUGUUUUUGAAGUCUAAAUUAUAUUUGUUCACUUAGGCAAGAAGUUUUCUGGAAGGCAUCAAAAAUUUAUUCAAGAAUAUGUGAUUUUCAAAGAGGCCUUCAAUGUUUGAGAGCUCCCUGAGGAAGGAUUAGCAACAUUUUGGGUUGCUGAUUUUCAAUUCUUUUUUAAAGUGUAUAAAAUAGUGAGCUUUUCAUUUCUUUAUGAUGUUAUUGAAGCGUUCUAAUUGAGACAAAAAAAUUACUUAAAAUUUGAUGCCUUUUGAUAGAGGGUCCUCUUCUCAUACUAAUAAUUGGUUUAUCAAUACAAAAUACUAAUGAAAAUUUUCUGUUAGCAAAUUUAAAUCCAAUUUUGACAAUGUGCUACACUGAGGAAAGGUCUGAAUGAGUUCACGUAGAAAAUAUUUGCUUAGAUGCAGUUUCAAGUAAGAAUAUUUGUUGAAUAUUACAAAAUGAUUUUAGAGACGGUUUAAGAUCACCUUUCUUUACUUUUUAUUUGGGUAACAUAGUUCCUUUUUCCUUUUUAUUAUAUAGGUUUGUUUAUGAUCAUAAGAUGCUUUAAAUAUAUAGUUUUAUAUGUAAUUGCUGGUAAUGCUUAAAACCUUUUAGAUGUCAUUUAGACUUGGCAUCUUCCCAGUUGAUUAGACCAUGUAAUUCAAUAACUUAUAUUGAGUUUCUUGAUAGUCAUAUAUUUUGCUUAAUUAGACAAUGUAAUAUAGUGAAUACAAUUUUGAGUGCACUAUGCAAGGAAACAGGAAAAAAAUGAGAAGUUUAUAGUAUUUUAAUUACAAGUAAUUUUGUUAAGAAUCUAGCUGCUCUGCUAGGUAUAUUCUUGGGAAAGAGGAGAGCAUGGAAGGCUCAGAUUUGGUGAUGAUAAUAGUAAAAUGGUUCCUCAAAAAGUUCAGCUCUUAGUUGGAGAAACCAAAUAGAGGAUUACAAAAGUGAAAUGAUUCUUUAUAUAGGAAAAUAGAGAGAUUGUAUGAAAGUCUCUUAAAUUUUUCUUUGUUGAGUUAUCUAAGAAAAGUUGGACUAACUAAUUUAAACAUCUACAGGACACUCAUUCCAGCGUAUGCAGAAUAUUUUCUUUAGAUAUUAUGUUUAUCUAGCAAGCUGUUGAACAAGCUCAACUUAUGUCGGUUUGGUUAUCAACAUUGAACUAUGUGUGCCAAGCUCUUUGACUAGGAUUUUCAUGUCUGUUAGCUUUUUUUGAGGUUGAUGAGAGUAAUAGUUGAAAUUCUUCCAUUUUUUCGUUGGUAAUUUGCACUUUUGUGAAAUUUUCUUCAAAUUUGAUGAAUUUUUUAUAUAAAUUAAAUUUUUUUUUUGCCUAAAUCUAAAGAAAACCUUAACAAAUUUAUGUAGCUUAUACUAUCAUUUUCAUCAACUGCUAUAUAAUUUCAUUUUUUCUAUAGAAUCAAUCCGCUGCAACGCGCGGGUACCUUCACUAGUUAAUAAUUAAUUCCCGUAUCAAUUUCAUCAGCAUCGAUCAUUUGUCGUAAUUACUACCCGUAGUAGAGGACGAGGAGGAGGAUCAGAGGAGGAGGAUCAGACUCAGAGGAUCAGAGAGGAUUGAGGAGGCGUAGGGGAUGGCGAGGUCGAGCGCGGACGACGUGGAGUUGCGGCGGGCGUGCGAGGCGGCGAUCGACGGGGGCGGGGGGAAGCAGAAGGUGGUUCUGUGCAUCCGCGUCGCCAAGAGCCGCGGCGUCUGGGGCAAGGCCGGCAAGCUCGGCCGCCAGCAGAUGGCCAAGCCCAGAGUCCUUGCCCUCACCAGUAUGCAUCUCUCUCUCUCUCUGUAACCUCUCUCUCUCUCUCUUGCUGCAUAUACAUUCCAAUCUCAUAGCUAAGCUAGGCUACACUGUCCUUUCAAUCUCUCUCUCUCUCUCUGUGGGUGAUCAUCAUAAUCUCUUGACAAAAUACAACGACGACAUCCUCAAGUGUUCGAUGUCAAAGAAUUCUAGUUGCUGCUGUAACUCAUUAAAAAACUACAAUUUGAGCGCUUAUGCAUCAAAGCUUUCUCGUCAUAAAUGCUGCUCUUUCCGGGCUCAAUUGAUUAGUUUAGUUGAACCAGUAGCUCGAAUACAAGUCAUUAAUGUGCAUUUUCAAAUGUUCUUUAUGCGGCAUCUAGUGUGACAGCAAGUAACUCAUGCAGCCAAAUCAAAAGGCCAGCGGACUAAAGCUUUCCUUCGAGUUCUGAAAUAUUCUACUGGAGGAAUUCUUGAGGUAACUAAAUGCUUAAAUGCCAUCUUCAUGACGUAUUACUAUGCACGUAGAUCAUUUUCACUUUGAUUUUGCUAUUCAUGUUACAUGCUUAAACCUCAUCAUGCAAGCGGUACACUUUUAAUAUCUUUUAACUCUUUUGCGUCUUUAUGAGACCUUCCAGGACUCUCCAUAUGGUGAUUACUGUUCGCCCUUACCCAAUUGUGCGGUACUGUGCAAUAAGAAAGCUCCUUAGAUGAAAUGAAAUGAAAGUGGUCUUUGUGGGUUUCGACAUGUUGAUGCUUUUAUAAUCUUUGUGAUUUACAUUUUGCCAAUUGCUAAUGUAGACAAUAACCAAAAGGUCUUAACGAGUUCCUGAAGGUGUUUCUUAUUCGCUUGUUUUGUAUUGUAGCCGGCGAAGAUUUACAAACUGAAGCAUCUUUCAAAAGUGGAGGUUAUUCAAAAUGAUCCCAGUGGUUGUACCUUUAUGCUGGUACGCUCUUUUAUCUUACUCUACUUGUUUGUUUCCAACUUGUCAAAAUGUUUCGUUUUGAUUUCGCAUAAGAAGAGAACAACAGAAUCUAUUAUAUUUUUCCUACAUGCUAUUCUGUUUUUGAUCCUUAAGCAGAUCAUUUUGUUUCUUUUAGGGAUUUGAUAACCUUCGAAUGCAAAGUGUUGCACCUCCUCAAUGGACGAUGCGCAACAAAGAUGACAGGUAAUAGUAGGGAAUGCUCGGAGGUCAUUACUGAAGAUUUCACAUGUGUUCUUACUAACAAUAUGGUUUUUGGUUUCACUUACCAUUGUCUACUUGUAGGAACCGGAUUCUUAUGUGCAUUUUAAACAUGUGCAAGGAGAUAUUAGGUGGUAUCCCUAAAGUUGUUGGUAUAGACAUUGUCGAGAUGGCUCUAUGGGCAAAGGUGCAUUUAAAAGGAAAUUCUUUUUCUGCAGUCACUCACAAUUUUUGGCUGUAUCCCUUACAAAUAUUUUGCAAAAGGGGCUACAAAGUUGGGGUUCGACCCAAAUUUAGAGUUAAUAUUGGACUAGGUAAGAAAUUAUAAUUGAUGUUCCAUGGAACAAGUACUACACUAAUAAAGGACUUACCUGAUAAGAAUACAUUGAGAAGACAGAGCUAUUACAGUUCAGAAGGUUGACAAGGCCAGAGUGAGUUGUUAUAUUGUGGGCAUCAAAGGAUAGUAUUUAUCGCACCUCAUCAAGAGUUUAGACCUAAGAUAUUGAUGGCUAAUUUCACCUAAGGGCAGAGUAUUGCUAGGGUAACCAAAUAUAGUGAACUUCAGUGUCCACAUUAAGAUCCAUAUUUUAGGGCCUUCAUUCCGCUUAAUUAUGACCAUACUACCUAGUUUCAUGCUAGUUUGAACUUUAUGUCCUUUUAUCUCUAUACUUCCUAUAUUUUCUAUAAUCACAUGCUACACAUCCUUUGCAAUCUACCCGUUAGAUAAUGUCCAAAAAGGAAAAGUGCAAGCUUCUAAUGAUGAGGUAAAACCCCAAGAUGAAAUAGAUUACCAUGUUGAGGGCUUUAUCCCACAUAGUCAUACAAACUAAACUAGUUUCAUUAGUUGAUUUUUGAGGUGAUGGAUUGAUUAUAUUGAUCCACUUAACAAACUAUAUAUAGCCAUAAUAGUAGAUUCUAAAGAGUAAGGAUUAAAUUGGUCCAAUGGUGUCUGACCCAAAUCUCAUGGCUUAAAUUAUAUAGCUAACACUCAUUAGUAUCUUAAUAGUGAAACUAACUUAAAUGUUUCUUAAUCUCGUUUAGGAAAAUACUCCCGCAAAAACUAGUCAAGUGGCAACUAAAGAUGGACCAGCAACAUCUGUUAUGACAGAGAAUGACUCACAAAUUACUGUCGAAAGAGAUCUUGUUUCACAAGCUGAAGAAGAGGACAUGGAGGCCCUUCUUGGCACGUAUGCUAGUUUCCUAACUUCAAGUUUUAUGUUUUGUUCUAUCUGUGAAAUUCUCAUUUAAACUGGUAUAAUAAUGUGCACACUUCAUUCUAUCGUUGAAUUGCUAGUGUUUGAGGUGAAUGGAUAUGUAUUCACAAUUUCACAUAAUAACUUAGCGAUUUAUUAAAAUUUUUAUGUUACUUUAUUGUAGCACGAAAUGGGUUGUGAUACCAUUUCCAUUCUGCAAUUUAACGAAGUUUUAGUUCUAUUGCUCUUCUGGUUUCUAUUUUGCUUGACAAUUUUCAACUGAAAAAUAUUGGUUGGCACCAAGCUGAGACAUUUUUUUAUGUUUGUUAUCCACAUACGUACUAUGUCACCAAGUAUUUCUGUAAUUUUCUUUCUCUUUGUAUUCCCUCACAUAGAAAUAUAUAAUCUUAAAGAUAGUUCAUUCUUGGAACUAUCAAGGCUAUUGAUAAUAUCAAUACAAGUCAUAUAAUAAAUGUUACAUAUAAAAUUUGCAUUGUCUCAGGGCUGCAUGUUGCUAUAUCUGAACUCGCAAUGCAUAAUAUCUACUAUAUAAAGCAUUAUUAAAUUCAAAAUAUUUAAACCUUUAUCUGCAUCAAAAGAUAGAUGAAACAAGGAUAAAGGUGAAGAUACCUUGCCCAUACUUUCAUAUUCAUCUACUUUUUCUUUUUGGUUUGUUCAUUAAUAUAUGUAAUUUUUAAUAACUUAAAUGCAGUACUAAUUUGUAUACUCUGUAGGUAUGUUAUGGGCAUUGGUGAAGCAGAGGCAUUUUCAAAAAGAUUGAAGCGGGAGCUUCUAGCUCUGGAAGCUGCAAAUGUCCAUGCCCUUUUGGAAAGCGAGCCUAUAGUAGAAGAGGUUCUUUUUACCUAGUCUUCGCUUCAUACAAGAUGUUAAACAUGAUGAUGAUCAAUAUAUGAUAAAUUAUAAUUUCAUAGAUUUUUUUAAGAAAUUAUUCAGAAUUUCUGGCAUAUAGAAAAUGCAAUUAAUGGCAGUAAAUAUCAAGAAGGAAUAAAGUGACCCAAAUAGCUAGUAACGGUGAAGUUCUAUUUUUAUGCACUGUUGCAGUUUCCUAUUUUGUUUCGAUUGUUUGCUUUUCUUCUUUUAUAGAAUACAAAUUAUUGAUCAACUAACAUCGUGAAGUAGCAAGUCUAACACCUAAAAACUGAAUCCCAGGAAAAUAGUGAGGUAGUGCAUUAUCACUUUAUACGCAAUCUAGGCUAAUCAAGAGGAAACAAUCUCCAGAAAGUACGUCUUAGUCUCCACAAGGGGCCAUGUGAGAGUAAAACUCCAUAACAUUUCACAACACAUGCCUGUCAUGAGAUUUUAUCUGCUAAUUUCUAAUAGUUACAAUUUUGUUCUGGUUUAUAACUUUGCUGCAACCCUUUGAGGUGCUUCAUUGGACCCUAACCUUAUUUCUAUAUUAUAAUUCAGCUUUUUUUAAAAAUAAAUAUUGAGCUGCUGAAAAAUCAAAUCAGCUCCAAAAGUGUCUAUGCCAGCUGAAUAGAUAAUAAUAUCAAUGUACUUGCCUUCUCUUUAAAAUUAUACAGUAAUUGCAUACUCGUAAUAAUUGCAAAUUCCAAACUAUGCAGGUACUUCAGGGUCUAGAAGCAGCUAGUAUAUGUGUGGAAGAUAUGGAUGAGUGGCUUGGUAUUUUCAAUGUGAAGCUUAGACAUAUGAGAGAAGACAUUGAAUCGGUAUGGUAUUCACAGCCUACUGAUACUACAUAGCAAAUUUCGCCAUUAAGAGCAUAUUUAAUCUUCAUCUGUCAAGGUGAUGUAAAGAUUUAAAAAGUAUUUUCACAGCACAAUCAUGCGAGAAGCCAACACAAUAUUUUAUAUUUUUUUCCUGCACAGUUUGCACACUUUAUCCUUUCUACUUUCCAUUAUUUCCAAACCAAGAAAUCUUUACAUAUUUAUGCGAUAUCUGAAAUUUAAAGCCUCAAUUGUCAUCACUCACAAUAUCUGAUACUUAGUUUGUCGCAGAUAGAAUCUCGUAACAAUAAGUUGGAGUUGCAAUCGGUAAGUAACAAAGUGCUUAUUGAGGAGCUCGAUAAGUUACUUGAGCGCUUACAAAUACCUUCAGAGGUGCGCUUGCCGCUCAUUUAAUGUCAUAUACCUUCCUCUUAUGAUGGUAUUUUGAUUGAAUUUUCUUAAUAAUUAUUUUCCAAUUGUUGAUACCAUUGAGUUGAUGAUAGUUCGAAGCAGCUCUAACUGGAGGUUCAUUUGAUGAGGCAAAUAUGAUUAAGAACAUUGAAGCCUGUGAGUGGUUAACUGGUGCGAUAAAGAAUAUUGAAGUGCCAAAUUUGGAGCCAUGCUAUGCAAAAUUACGAGCUGUAUGCCUUUUCCUUUUGCUUGGAUAAUAAUUUCUCUGUGCAUAAGUAGCAUCAAAUUUGACAAAUUUACUGGGUUGACAGAAGCUAUAAAAUCUAAUUUCUUGAUGACUGUAUAAUAAAUAAUACCAACCUUAGGAUACAGAGGAUCUGGAUAAAGCCUAUAAUCAUAUAUGAUCUAUAUAUUAUGUGGCAAAGAACUAAUAUAUAUUGGCAGUAAUUUCAUUGCACUUCGUUCUUGUCCUUUUGUUUACUGUUAACAUGAAAUCUAAUAUAACAGUAGAGUAAAGAUCAUUAGUUUCUGCAACUUCUGAGUUUCCUAGUGGAAUCUUAAUGAACCAUUCAUUUGUCGCACUGCAUUUACAUAUUACAUUUUACCUUAGGUCAUUCGUUGCUGUUGCUUUGCAUCUGGAGUUUGAAUGAACUUAUUAUUAAUAUCUUUACAGGUCAAGGAAAAACGUGCCGAAUUUGUGUUGCUGAAGUGUACAUUUGUUCGGCGGGCAUCAGAAUUUCUAAGAAAUUACUUUCCUAGUUUAAUUGAUUUUAUGAUAAAUGACAAGAGUUAUUUUUCUCAGGUAAUGACAUAGUUUCAUUAUCUGCUAAUCAUUGCAAACAAGUAGUUUCAGGAUUUUUACCUAAUUAUGCUUUUCAGCGAGGACAGCUGAAGAGGCCUGACCAUGCUGAUCUUAGAUACAAGUGCAGGAUAUAUGCACGACUUCUGCAGCACAUAAAGGUCCUUUUUUUUUUGAGAAAGUCAAGGAGUGAGCAUUAGCUUUAAGUCGUAGUGCUUUUUCAUGAUUCUGACUUGCAAAUCUUUCAGUCUCUGGACAAGAAUUGUCUGGGACCACUGAGGAAAGCGUACUGCCAUUCUCUUAACCUGCUACUCCGUCGAGAGGUCAGGAGUGAAAUUGUACUUUAAAAUUUGACCAGUAUAUAUAUUUUUCCUUUGAAUUUCUAAUUAUUUCUGCUUAAAUAAGAACAUGAUAAUAUAUGCUGUUGACCAAUAAUGACGAUUUCUACAAGAGUAGAUUAACUAUCUUGCAGAAUUGCACAAAUGUGCAUUCAUUGACAUCAAUAUUAUGAUUUAUUCAGACUGGGAAUUACUUCUUAGGUCAUUAAUUUAUUCUUAAAGAAAAUUGAGCGAAUCUGGGAUUCGGUUGUGCUUCUUAGCUUUGCAAUUUGCUGUCUAUAUUCAUUCAAGAAAACCAUCCUAAGGAACUUUCUUUUUUUGGUAAAAAAAAAAAAUAGGAUUGAAAAUAUUUUGUCCCCGAGGAUGAAGUGGCCAUUUUGAAUCAGCCCCCUCUACUAUAUUUCGAUUGUCACUUCUUCGGCAUUUUUUGUUUUGAUUCAAGGCAUUCUGUCAACUGAAAUUGGGAAUGCUGUUAAACAUAAUGGCACACUUUAAAGAUAGCGGGAUAGUUGGUUCUAUUUGUUUAAGAGGAUGGCUUUGAUUAUGUAAUAGCAGUAAUGAAAUAAAUUAUGAAUUUGUGCUAUAUCUAUUUACUUUAUUUGGGCUUUGUGUUUCACAGGCCCGUGAAUUUUCUAAUGAACUUCGUGCUAGUACAAAGGUAUCAAAGAGUUCUACUGUUUGGCUUGAGGGCCCUCCAGGUUCAAGUCAGACAACUAAUAGUGCUGAUAGUUCUUCAGCUUCUGAAGCAUACUCAAGGAUGCUCACAGUAUUUAUUCCUCUUCUCGUAGAUGAGGUAAUAUUAUUUUAUUCUUCCAUAUGUUUCAUCUAACACAGGCAUGCCUUGGAACAGAAAUAUUUUAACUGUUAUUUUCAUUGUAGAGCUCUUUCUUUGCACACUUCAUGUGUUUUGAAGUGUCUGCACUUGCUCCAUCUGAGUCCUUUGGCAGUAACAAAUUUGGAUCUGAUGGCACAGAAACAAAUCUAGCUGCUCACACUGGAAGUGAUGUCAAGCACAGUAAUAUUCUUGCCUAUGUUGUUAAGAUAAAUUUUAAUACUAUGCCUUUUCUUCUGCAUUAUGUGUACAAAUUUGAAGUAAUAUCAAAUUCUUGUGAUUCUCCCUGCAGAGAAUAAUUCAAAUGAAUUGGAAAUUCUAAAUGAAUGUCUUCGAGAGUUGCUUGACGGAAUCCAGGUUAGUUUUCUGUAGUUGUAAGAAAUUUUCUUAUGCAUUACAGCUGACUCUGAAUUUGAAUCAUGUCAUACCAUAAAUGCGUAAUGUGCUUGCUGGCGAAAUCUUUACUAAUUUUGUUGCUUUUAUUCUUCACAUUUCUAAGUCUGCAGUGUAUAUGCUAUUAAGCUUUUUCAUAUGAAAGCAUUAUGCCUAAAUGUAGGAGGCUGUUGAUCUUAUUAACAGUAAAGCUUUUUCAUAUGAAAGCUUUAUGCCUAAACUAUAAAUGCCGUUAUCCUUACAUAAUGCAAGUAUAAUAGUGAGCUGUUUUGCCAGACAUUUGAAAGAGGUACUGAUUAGUUAGAAACUCCAAUUCUGCAAUAUUACUAUAUUCAGCUAGACUAUGAGAUGAUUCUUUAUGUCAUUUUCCAACGUCAAGUUAUGUGCUAUAUAUAUAUUUUUCAUGACAAACUUUAGAACAGCAACAUUAGGCUCAUUGUGGGACUUCACUUAUUUACUUAUUAUUCUAACUUACUAUCUCAGGAAGACUUCUAUUCUGUGGUAGAUUGGGCAUGCAAAAUUGAUUCGCUUUGUUGCAUAUCGAUGCACGGUAUCACAGACCGCUAUCUUUCUACUCAAAAAGCUGAUGUAGCAGGAUUUGUUCGUGUGUUGCUUGAUGACCUAGAGACCAGAGUUUCCAUGCUCUUCAGCAGGGUUUGUUUAUAUGCAAUAUGAUUUUUUGGUUGUCCUAGACACUUUGGAAUUGCAUGCAACAGACAUCUGACUAACUUUUGUUUCCUUUUUUCCUUUUUCAUCUAGUUUGUUGAUGAUGCUUGUUAUCAGAUUGAGAAAUAUGAAAAGAAUGUGCGACAAAUGGGAGUUCUACCAUAUAUACCAAGGUUUGCAACACUUCUUCCUUGAAACCGUCGAUGCGUGUUUUCUUGUACGGUUGAUUUUUUUUCAACACCAGUUCUCUUCUGCUAUUAUAAUCUGUAAUAUAAACAGAUCAUAGUUUGAUAUUUGAAACCAAGUAUUUUAUUCAAUAUCAUCACAAAUUUGGGGCUGUUUGGUUGGAUGUAAUUUUAAAUAUCGUACAACUAAAGAUGCAUAUAGUUAAAAAUGCAGCAGUUACAACUAUAUGUAUUUUGUUUGGUUGGAUGUAAUAGAAAAUACUGCAACAUAAAUAGUUUGUUAGAUGCAUGCAGUUAGAAACUAUAUUUAUAAAUUUUGUCACUUUGUAUAUGGGUUGGGUAAGAUUACCAUCAAGGCAUCAAUACAGAAGAAAAAAAAUAUUUUUUUUGUUAUAUAACUUGUAAAUCAAUGCAGUUAAAAUAACAGAGACAAUAGAAUAGAGGCAUAAGAUAUUAAACAAAGUAGGAAUUUAGGUUGUAGAACAUUAAAUGGUAAAAUCAAACAUGGAGAAAAGAGGGAGUUCUAUUGCAUAAUUGAUUAUCAGAUCAGAUGUAAUGCAAUUUUGAUUUUAACAGCUAUUUUUGGUAUUUUGUUUUGUUCUCUAGAAAGUAAGAUAUGUUAAGUUUACAUAAGCUCUUCCCACUUUGAGAUAUUUUUCCUUAAUAUUCCGUCUAGUUUAUAAAAAUGUACUAAGGCCGUAUUGUUCCCUUGGUUAGCUUUAAUUUACAAUGCUCUAGCAUAAAUCUGCAAUCUAUUAUUCUUCGUAGAUUUGCUACGCUGGCAACACGUAUGGAACAGUAUAUACAAGGGCAAUCUAGGGAUUUGGUCGAUCAAGCAUAUACAAAAAUUGUGAGUUCCACUCUACCCAGUUGGACACACCACUUGAUACCAGUAAUACCUGGCCCUUUCCUUCUUUUUUUUUUGAAAAUAAACUUGCGACAAUUGUACGCUUUUUUUUUUUUUUUUUUUGUACUUUAACAUUAUUUCAGAAUACCAGGUCUGCAAGUUUAAAUAAUGGGCAUCUAACCUAGCAUCUCCUCCUUAUUGGUGGCUUAAGUUAUAUAUCUGAUGUUUUAUUGAACGUUCUCUCAAAUUUACUAAAUGAUAAUUUGUAAAAUUUGAAAUAGGUCAGCAUAAUGUUCGUUACCUUGGAGAGGGUUGCACAAGUGGAGCCAAAGUAUGCCGAUAUCGUGCUAUUGGAGAAUUAUGCAGCUUUUCAGCACAGGUUGUGAAAAACUGACCUUCACUGACAGAUUAUUCAUUAUUCAUGUAAUCUGAAGAAACAAGUCUGCUCUCCUGAUACAUAUGUUCUUUUUUCUUCAGUCUCUAUGAUUUAGCUAAUGUUGUGCCAACACUUGCUAAGUUCUACCAUCAAGCAAGUGAAUCCUAUGAACAAGCUUGCUUGCGCCAUAUUAAUAUGGUCAUCUACAUUGUAAGGACUUCUUUAUCUCUAUCCAUAUAUUUCUUCCCCUAAUCUGGUAGCUAUUCUUUCAUGAGAUGCACAUACUUCUUCCCCUAAUCAGGGAAUUAUUCUUUCAUGAGAUGCACUAUUUAUAUUGAGGAAAGGUGCUCUUUACUAAGUAACGAACAAGACAAAACAAAAACACUUCUAUAAACCAUAUAUAGGCUAGGAUCUUGUCCGGAGUACUGACGCUCCUACAGCAUAUCCCUCCCCAGCAAAUCAUUUUUUUCUGUCAUCUCAAACUUCUUUUUUUUGUCAACUUAAGGCAUAAGAAGAUAUAUAUAUGUGUGUGUGUGUGUGUGUGUGUGUGUGUGUGUGUCUCAUCUCCAGAUUUAUAAUUGAAUUUUGCUUUUGCAGCCAACUCAUAUUGUCUUACAUGUAUCCAGAAAGAAAAGAGUUUUUUCCUUAUAUGCAUCCAUAUCUUCUAGUUCCCAAGGAAUGGUUUGUUCCUAGUGAUCAUUUCAUAUGAAGCAAUGCGUUAGUCAAUGAUUUGGAUCAAUCGCAACGAAUCUCCAGCAUCUAGAAAGCUUAUGAGUAUCAGUUCUUGUGUCAGAAUUUUGGAGAUGCUUUUGUGUUAGUAUUUUUUAUUUAUGUAGUGGUUUGACUCAAACCUGCUAUCUUGAUAUGGCAAGCCCGCUGAGGACAUCAUACAUAAAUAUGUUUUUAUGUGCUAAUGUGUGGUGGUUGAAUGGGUAUAUCAGCAUAUGCAUGUGUGGAUGUGUAUAUGUGCACUCGCAUGCUCAUGCAUGUGUGCAUGUGUGCCAAGAUGUUUUCUUAUAACCAUGUUACUUAUUGCAGCACUUUGAGAAAUUAUUCCAGUUCGCAAGAAGAAUUGAGGAAUUGAUGUUCACAAUUGCUCCUGAGGAGGUAAGACAAUCUUGAAUAGGGCCUACAACUUGCUAAUGCAUCUUUUCUUGUAGUUUACAAUAUGGUGUUCAAUUUUAACAGCUCUUGCUUCAUUAUCUAAUGAUGUUACUUCCCCUAUGACCUGCUCCGUCCACUAGUCAUCUGUCUGUGCUAUCAUGCUUGACUAAAUGUUGGAGACAAAAGCUCAAACUGCAUCUAGUUGUACUUAAUUUUAUACCUAAUCUUUUCUAAUAUUAAAAUUUGCAGAUCCCAUUCCAAAUUGGAAUGUCAAAGAUGGAACUUCGAAAGACACUAAAAUCCAGCUUAUCAGGAGUAAGUUGCAAUAUUUAUUUUAGUCUCAUCUUUCUGUCUUAAGUGCACUUCUAAUUAUUUGGCUGUCAUUUUGAGAUGGUGAGAAUAUUAUCUUCAUUUUUUAUGUCUUUGCUGCACUUAUGGCCAUUUAUUAUUAUUAUUUUUUUUACAGCUUGACAAGACCGUAAGUGCAAUGUAUAGGAAACUACAGAAGAAUUUAACUGCAGAAGAGUUGUUGCCUUCAUUGUGGGAAAAAUGCAAGGUCUGUUUUAUCAUUUGCUCUGAUCAAAACAUGCCAAGAGAAUUAGAGAAUAUCUUAUUCGACUACAUGAACCAAAUAUAUAUAUAUACAUACUACUAAAGAGACGGCUGGUGGACUCAUUCGCUGGCCCUCUUCGAUAUCUAUCUGUCUUUCGAUUCAUCUAUGUUUAUGCCUUUUUUUACAGAUACGUCAAAUAUUCUUAAAGAAUUAGUUGAAAAAAGCAUAAAAAAAAAUCUGAUUUGAAUCAUUUCAUCCAUUGAUUUAAAACUAGGAAGCUAAAAAUCCAAUUCCUUUUGUCAAACACCUGGGGAGAAAACAUCUUCCAUAAAGUAAACUCAUUGUAAACACCCCUGGGAUACAAGAAAAGAGAGUAGAGGGAGGAAUGGCUUAACUGCCCCUUAAGCCAUUCUGACUACUACCUCUCUUAAUCCAUAGGGUAUAGAAUUCAAUAUAUAAUAAUAAAUUGAAUUCGAGACACACACACACACACACACAUAUAUUAAGAAAGAGAGAGUGGGAGUUCUUUUCUCUGUUUGAUUUUUUUUUUUUAAAAAAAGAGGGGCAAAACGGGUGCUUUUUUAAUUUAUUACUCCUUUCAACUCAAUUUAUUGUAUUAUAGGUAAUGUUUCCACAGAGACGCAGUUAUCAUUUUCUAUGGUGUGUUGGCAGCACUAGAAUAAUGUGUUGAUUUAAUAGUUUCAGCACAUUGAAUUAUUUUCUCAAUUUCGUUUUGUUUAUAUGAACCUGUUUUGUUCUUGCUGCCUUGUUGUGUGUCUGCACUUUGCCGCACUAUUUCUGCUCUUACCAUGUUUUAAAUAAAUAUCAUUGGUAAUUUCCCCAAAAAACAAAAUCAACUGAUUCAGAUAUUGAUAAGAUUGCUGCAAAUUACGAAUAAAUUUGGUGGUAAAAUAUUUGAAUUUGUUCCAAUUUGGGUCCCGCAGAAAGAGUUUUUGGACAAAUAUGGAAGUUUUCUUAAACUGGUAGCAAAAAUAUAUCCAAAUGAGACCGUCUCCUCGGUGGCCGAGAUGAGAGAACUCCUUAGUACAAUGUAGGAGAUUGCUCCAGGUUUUUCAUCAUCCUCAAGGUUGGAUAAGCUUAAUUUGUUUUUCAUUGAUUGGUGUAAGUUCCUUUCUGCUUUGCUUUCUAGUUGAUAUACUUGGUUUUGAACAGCCUUACAUCCAAUCGUCUCGUCUGAACUGAUGCAGGUAUAUUACUUUGGAAGAAGCUAAUGCAGUACCUGCAGGUAGCACUUGGAAUUCUUUAAUUCUUUUAAUUCUUUCUUUCUUUCUUUUCAGUUCUUGUUUUUUCCCUAAAUGAGGUUCUCAUUGAGGUGCAUGCAAUCCAGUCAAUUUGGUUGGCAGGAACUGUCUAUCCUUUGUAUUAUCUCAUUAGAUUUUUGAAGCAGAUGACUGAGACGAACAGAUUCUUUAGUUCAUAAAGUUAAAAAAAAUAUAUUCAGUGGCGACGGAUAUGAAACUACAAUUAGCUUUCGGCCUGUUUUGCCUUCAGUUUUUCUAGCGGUCUUGCUCAACAAUUUUAAAUAUCGGUUGCAAUCAAUAAAAAAUUAAUAUAACAAUUAAAAUAUUAGUAGAUAAUAUUAAAGUAAUAAAAAAAUAUUAACAUAAAAUGAAAAGAUACUAAAUAUUUUAAGAUUUAUCUCUUAGAGAAAAGAGAAUUAAAAGUUUAUUUUGUUAUGUUACUUAUUUUACGUAAGAAAAAAUAGGAAUCAAAAAAAAAUUCCCAAAAAGUUGAUUUAUCGAGGUACCAAAAUUCAAAAUAAAAAGCAUUUAAAAAUUAAGAACUUUGAAUAAAAAUAUCUUGAGAGUGACUCAAAAAAUUCGAGAGACUUUGAAUAAAAAUAUCUUGAGAGUGACUCAAAAAAUUCGAGAGAGAGUAUACUCUUAUUAGUACGAGUGAAGACCCGCGCUUCGCAGCGGAAAAUAUAAGAAAAAAAAUCAAAAUAAAUAAUUAAAUAUUUAAAUUUUAAAAUAUUUUAUUAUUCAAAAUUUAAAUUUAAAUUUAGAAUAUAAAAUGUUGAAGUUUAAAAUUUAAAUUUUAAUAUAUCAAAUUGAAAUUUCAAUAUUUAGAAUUUAAUAUUUGGAUUUUUAAAAUUCAAUGUAUAAUUAUAUAUAUAUAAUUCUCUCUCUCUCUUAUAUAUAAAUAUUUAUUAUAUUAUAUUUUUUUAUAAUUCUCUCUACCCCGCCCCCUCUCUUCUCUCUAUAAUUAUAAGUUAAUUUAUAUAUAUUCAAAUUUUAAUUGUUGCAUUUUAAAUUUAAAUUUUUUAUUUUUUUGUAUGUGAAAUCACAAUACUAAAAAAAAUUGGAAAGGGAAAAAAAAAAAAAAAGAAGAGAAAGAGAAUAUUAAUUCUAUCUCUCUCUCUAAAUAUAUAUAUAUAUAUAUAUAUAUAUAUAUAUAAAUUAAUAAUUGGGGGAUUUCGUCGAACACCUUGCGGGCAGCGACGGGAAGGCGGCAUCGCGCGUAGAGGGAGAUGAGGUGGUUGCAGAAGGGGGGAGACCCAGGGCGGGAACGCGCAGUCGCGCCGUUGGAUCCUCCGAUACAUGAGCGGGAUGUUGGCGUCGUCGAAGGGGAGCUGUCCCGCGAGGAGCACGAAGAGGAUGACCCCGCACGACCACGCUUCGGCGCGCGCCCCAUCGUACCCGUAGCAUUAGAAGUGAAACCCAGAAAUUUACCAUAUGCUUGAAAAAGCCUAGAAGUGUACGAUUCACUUCAUUUUACAAUUUGAUACUCAGAUAAAUAAUCCAGGGGACUAACACAAAUAAGGGGGAAUAAAAACUCAUUUUCAAGUUAACUUCUUUCGCUGCACACUAAUAAAUGCUACAAACACAGUCCAAAUCUCACAUAAUUUAUCUUGAAAAAGCAACUCCGUUUUCACAAAAUAAGCACUGAUUACUAUCUUGCAUCCAAAGCGCAUCUCAAAAGAAAUAUAUAUAUAUAUAUAUAUAAAAAAUGAAGCUGAGAGAGACGUAGAAAAAAUAAAUGUUCGUACAAUUAAAACAAACUAAUCCUAUGGGCCCUUCCAAUAAAUAAAUGAAAUUAAAGCUCCUAUGGCAUCUAACACACCCAAGAGAAAGUCUCAGAGCCAUUAAUAAACAGUACCGCGUAGGCUGGGGCCCCGCACGCCAUACGUAGGCGCCCGUCGCGGCCGCGCUGCUCCGCGAGGGCUGCGAGCCCGAAGUCGGAGAGCUUGAGCGCGCCGUCGCAGGCGAGGAUUAGUUUAAAAAAUUAUUAAUAAUUAUUAAUAAUUAUAAUUAUAUAUUAUUAAUAUAUAAUUAAUAUAUAAUUAUUAAUAAUUAUAUAUUAUAUAACUUCCGGCUACUAUACUAUCGAUAGUAUCAAACGCUUAGUGCUAUUUUUUUCACCGUAAGAUCUAUCCCUUUGACCACUUUCGUCCAUUAGAUCAUACUAUUCAGCCAACCACCUGCUCAAUCCUAGAGGAUCACUAUCAUCCUAACCGCACAUAUCUUCAUUCAAGAGCCGAAUAACUGAUAGCACCAAAAACUUNGAGGGCGGCGAGCCCGAAGUCGGAGAGCUUGAGCGCGCCGUCGCAGGCGAGGAUUAGUUUAAAAAAUUAUUAAUAAUUAUUAAUAAUUAUAAUUAUAUAUUAUUAAUAUAUAAUUAAUAUAUAAUUAUUAAUAAUUAUAUAUUAUAUAACAUUAUUGAUAAAUUUAAUUAAUUAAUUAAAUUUAUAGAGUUUAGAAAUUAAAAAUUUUAAACUUUAAAAUUUAAAAAUUGGAAAAAUAUGGUAUGCUAACAAUUAAAUUUCAAAUUUAAAUAUAAAAAUAUAAAAUUCAGAAAUUAAAAUUUUAAAAUCUCUCUCUCCUUCUCUCUCCCUUUCUCUCCCAGUCUCCCUCUCUGUCUUUCUCCACCUGGCUCUCUCUCUCUCUGCGGAUUUUUUUAUAAAACAACCCUCUAAAAUUUUAAAAUUUGUGAAAUAACCCACUCAAAAUUUUAUUUGUAAAACUAACCCUCUUUUCGCCACGUCGGCGCCACGUCAGAAUUUCUUUUAAAGGCGGUGAAUCGUUCACCGCGUUCUCCUAUUUCUUUUAAAGACGGUGAAUCAUUCACCGCGUUCUCCCAUUUCUUUUAAAGGCGGUAAAUCAUUCACCGUUUUCUCGCAUAACUUAUUUACCGUUAUGUUCUAUAUUCCAUAUAUAAUCCUAACAACCAUAUAAAAAUUCUAACAAAUUACAUAUAAUCUUAACUGCCUUUAUAUGAAGUUAUAUGGAUAAAUUAUUAAGAUUUAAAAGUUGUUAAGAUUAUAUGGGAUAUAGAAAGAAACAGUAAAUUAACAACCAUAUAAAAAUUCUAACAAAUUACAUAUANUCUACUCUCUCUCUCGUCUGUCUCUCUCUCUCCCUCUCUCUCUCGUCUGUCUCUCUCUCUCUCUCCCUCUCUCUCUCGUCUGUCUCUCUCUCUCUCUCCCUCUCUCUCUCGUCUGUCUCUCUCUCUCUCUCCCUCUCUCUCUCGUCUGUCUCUCUCUCUCUCUCCCUCUCUCUCUCGUCUGUCUCUCUCUCUCUCUCCCUCUCUCUCUCCUCUGUCUCUCUCUCCCUCUCUCUCUCGUCUGUGUCUCUCUCUCCCUCUCUCUCUAUCUCUCUCGUCUAUCUCUCUCUCUCUCUCUCCAUCUCUCUCUCCCCCCUGUGCCCCCGGAGUUCCCGGGCGCGCAUCUCUCUCUCCCCCCUGUGCCGCCCGGGCCCCAUGGGCUGGGCGCGGGGGGCGCGCGCCCCCGCGCGCCCUCUCUCUCUCUCUCUUUCUCUCUCUCUCUCUCCCCCCUGUGUCCCCCCUGGUUCCUCGGGCGCGCGCGCCCUCUCUCUCAGAGAGAGAGAGGGCGGUGGAGAAAUGGAGAGGGAGUGGGGGAAGAGAGAGGGAGAGGGUGGUGCUGGGGGGGAGAGAGGAGACGAGAGAGGGAGAGAGAGGGGGGGAGAGAAGGGGAGAAAAGGAGGGGGGGGGGCGAGAGAGAGAGAGAAACGGGGAGAGGGGUCACGCCCGCUCGCCGUCGCCCCCUCCUUCGCGCCCGCCCGCCGUCGCCCUCCGUCCCCGCGCCCUCGCCCGCCCGACGUCGCCCUCCGCCUCCUCGCCCGCUCCCGCGCCCCGAGGCGCACGACGCGCUCCAUGGCCGCUACGCCCCCGAGAGCGUGGGCUUGCACGACGCCUACGACCUCCACUACCGCUGCGCGAGGUUCUAGAUGGACCAGUGCACAGCGCUCCUCCGGCUCCGCGCUCGCUGCCGCGCCCCGCGCCCGCCGUCGCCCGUGCGGCGCCCGUGCGGCACCCCCACCCGCGGCCGCGGCCGCGCCCACACCCGAGUUCGCGACCGCGGCGCCCCGCUCCCGCCCGCGGAGCGAGGGGUCGAGAGAGAAAGAGAAAGAGAGAGGGGGAGAGAGAGUGAGAGAGAGGGGGUGCACGAACUGGGCGCGGGCCACCCAGGCGCGCGGGGCGCGGUACGUGCGCUGGGAGAGAGAAGGGGAGAAAAGAAGAGAAGGGAGGGUGGGGGGGCCCGAGAGAGGGAGAGAGAGGGAGGGGGGGCAGAGAGAGGGGGAGAAAAGGAGAGGGAUGGGGGCCAGAGAGAGAGGGGUCGCGCUCGCGGCCGCGCCACCGCCCGAGGCUGCGAUUGCGCCCGCGCCCGGCUCCCGGAGGGACGCCCGCGCCGUGUCCCGCGCCCGCGGCCGCGCCCCACCGUCCGUCCUGCCCGAGCUCCCCCGCCCGUGCCCGCGCCCCGCGUCCAUCCGGGCCCGCGCGCCCCGUCCCGCGACGAGCCCCCACGCCCCUCGACCGACGCGCCCACGCGCCCCGCCCCGCGCCGCGCCCGUACGCCCCGCGCCCGGGCCGCGCUCGUGGCCCAACCCUCCCCCCCGCGCAACCCCUCUCCCCGACUCCUUCUCUUCCCUUCUCUCUCUCUCUUUCUCUUUGCGACCCUCUCUCUUUCUCUCUCUAUCUCUCUCUCUCGUCUCUCUCUCUCGGUCCACCUCUUUCUGUCUCUCCCUCUGACCCUCUCUUUCUCUCUCUUUUCCUCUCUCUCUAAAAUUUUAAAAUUAAAGACUUAAAAUAUAAAAAUAUAAAUUUAAACUUUAAAUUGACAAUCGUAUGUUAUAAAAAAGGUUAAAAAUUUAAAAUUUCAAAUUUUAAAAAUUACAAUAUAUUAUAUAUUAAUAAUUAUUAAUAUAUAAUUAAUAUAUAAUUAUUAUAUAUUAAUAUUAAUAAUUAUUAAUAAUUAUUAAAAAAUUUGAUUAGGAGCGGACGCUGCCGCGCGAGUUCGAGAGGCUGAAGCCCGAGCGUCGGGAGCGCCUCGUCGCGCCGGCGCUGCCCGCGGAUGCAUACCGCACGCCCCGGGGUCGGAUGCGCCAUGACAAAUAAUUACCGAGACUCUGAAAGAGAACCCACACAAUCUACGGUAUCCUCGAAAUUAAAGUAAAUAAAUAACCUUCCCGGGUAUCCUAAUCAAACAAAAUUAACAUGCUUGUAAAUAAAAAAGAUGCCGUAAAGUAGGAGAGAGAUUCGAAGUAAAAAAAAAAAAAAAAAGAAAACUCUACGAGAAACCUACGUUCUAUCAUUAAUCACGAGUAAAACACUUUUGCCUCAACGAAAAGGUUCUAUUUAAUACACUCUAAACCUGACACAAACAUCGUAAAUAAUCACACGUCGCUUUCUUCAAUUGAACUUUUACUCAAAAAUAAGGGGGAAUAAACACAAUCAGGGGACCUAAUAAAUAGACUCAUAGUUUAACAUUUUACUUCACUUAGCAUGUGAAGAUCCGAAAAAGUUCGUAUACCAUUUAAAGACCCAAAGUGAAGAUUACGAUGCCCAUGCUACCCCGCGCGCGGCUUCGCACCAGCACGCCCCAGUAGGAGAAGCACGAGGAGCGCCCUGUCGAGGGGAAGCUGCUGCGGUUGUAGGGCGAGUACAUAGCCUCCUAGGUUGCCGCGCUGACGCGCAAGGGCGGGACCCAGAGGGGGGAAGACGUUGGUGGAGUAGAGGGAGAUGCGCGCUACGGCGGAAGGGCAGCGACGGGCGUUCCACAAGCUGCUUUAGGGGGUUAAUAUUUAAAUAUAUAUAUAUAUAUAUAUAUAUAUAUAUAUAUAUAUCUCUCUCUCUUUCUCUCUUCCUCGCGAGCGCGGAAGCCCCCGCGAAACGCGGGGAGGGCGCCGUACAUACUCAACUUUCAUUAUUUGUAUUGAUAGAACACUUAAAUUAUUUUCGAUAAUGGAGUUUUCGAAUCGAUGAUUCAUACUGUUAAAUAUAACCUAAAAUAUUUGAAAUUUAAAAAAAAUAAAUUUUGUAAUUUUUGAAAUAAUAAUAAGUCCAUCAAAUAGGCAUAAAAUGAACAAUCAAAAUUUAGUUUAAGAUGGAAGUUAUAGAUCACUAUCUAUAUAGUGAAUAAAAUUUUUUUAUUAAAAGGUCAACCAAUUUCGUUUUUUAUACUGUUAAACUGGUGAGCAUUCUAUACCGAUUGUGAAAAAUUAUCGAUUUAAAGAUUGGUUGAUCGUAAAGUAAAUGAUGUAAAAGAAAAUCUAAAAUUUAGUUUUUAGAAGUUUCAAAUGCUCUAAAUCAUGUUUAGCUGUAUAGAUCGUCAAUUCGAAAAUUUUAUCAUCGAAAAUGACUUAUGCAUACAAUAUCAAUUGUAUUCAUAAAAGUAUAAUAGCAGUUCUCUCUCUCUCUCUCUCUCUCUCUUUCUCUCUCUGUAUAGAGAGUCCGGUUACUAUGCUAUUAAUAGCACGAAGCACUUGGUACUACCAAAUUUUCCGCCGUUAGAUCGAUCCUUUUAAUCAUUUUCACCUGUUAGAUCAUACUAUUCAACCAACCAUUCACUCAACCCUAGAAGGCUCACAUCAUCCUAACCGCACAUCUCUUAAUCCAAUGGCCAAGAACUUGGUAGCACCAAUGACUUCGUGCUAUUAAUAGCAUAGUAGCCUAGUUACUCUCUCUCUCUCUCUCUCUCUCUCUCUCUAUAUAUAUAUAUAUAUAUAUAUAUGAGUUGAGCUAUGAUACUUUUACAAGUAUCACCAUCAUGGUACUAUUAGGUUUUAAGCCAUUGGAUCUACUUUUUGAUUAUUAAUAGCCCUUGGAUUAAACACUAUUCCACCUACCACCACCUACUACUAUCAUCUCAACAUCACAUCUCUCCAUCCAAGGGCUAAAAACACACAAGUAUCACCCCCAUGAUACUUUUAAAAGUAUUCUAGCCCUACUCUAUAUAUAUAUAUAUAUAGAGAGAGAGAGAGAGAGAGAGAGAGAGUGAGGCUACUAUGCUUCUGGAAGGCUUCCAGGUCGUUUUCGAUGUUGCGAUUUUUGAAUCGUCGAUCGGCUCCAUUAAACUUGAUAAUAUUUGAAGUAUCUAGAAAAUAAAUUUUGUAAUUUUUCGAUAUCAUUUGCCUAGUGAACGAAGGGGCUCAAAAUCAACGGCUGACAAUAAAAAUCUUACAAAACGUGAUAAUAUGACAUUAAAACUUUAGAUUAAAGAUAUUGAUCUUAUUUUAUAUAGUAUAAAAAACUUACUAUCAAAAUUUUACGUGAUUUGGAUAUUUCUACACUGUUAAACUUGCAAACGGCUCACUACGGCCAUUAAAAUUAUUUAAUUUUGAGCCAUUUCGAUCACUAGGCAAAUGAUAUCGAAAAAUUACAAAAUUUAUUUUCUAGGUACUUCAAAUACUCUAGAUCAAGUUUAACGGAGCCGAUCGACGAUUUGAAAGUCGAAACAUCGAAAACGAUCUGGAAGCACGGAAGGCUCCGUACUUCAAGAAGCAUAGAAGCCUCACUCUCUCUCUCUCUCUCUCUCUCUCUCUCUCUCUCUAUAUAUAUAUAUAUAUAUAUAUAUAUAUAUAUAUAUAUAUCUAACUAUAACUCUAUAUGAAUCCCUAAUAAAAUUGAUGACAUGGCAAGCCCUCCUUUUUUUUAAUUUUUUAUAUUUUUUAUAUUUUUUAAUGGUGAUUCAUUAUUCUUUAUUCUUACAUUUAAUGUUCUUAAUAGUUAUAACUCCAUUAAUACUCACCUCUUAAUUACUCUUUAAUUUUAUUUAUAUCUCCUUUAAAUUUUUUAAUAGUGAAAUAUUUAAGACAUUAAUUAUAAAGGAAAAAAACUGUCUAAUUAUUGCCCAAGAAUAAUUACUUCAGUUUUAUAUGUUUAUAUUUUUACUAUCUUAUUAUAUUUAAUGUUGCUAAUGAUAGCUAUAUAUUACAUGCAUAUGUUUUUCUUUCCUAAUUAAUUAAAUAAAUACUAUACUUUAGAUAACAAAUUAAUAUGUGGUAGUAAAGAUAGCUUCUCCAAAUCCUAAAUCCUAAAAUCCCAACCUUUCCUCUCCCUCCGCACCCUCCCUUGCCACCGCCCCUCCGAUCGGUGGCGCCUCCUCUCUGCCGGCCCCGCCGCCGUCCACACGGCGGUGGCCAUCUAGAAGGAGACCUCGGAGGAGGAGCGGCUGGAGACCUUCCUUCGCAUGGCGGAUCUCGCUAUUGCCACGUCCGUGCGUGCGCGGUUCGAGCGGAUGAUCCGCGAGGCCCUUGACGAGGUGUGCGCGGCGCUCAAGGCCGUGGACGGGGGCGCCGCGUUCAAGGAGGAUGUGUGAUCGCGCCCAUUUGCAACAAUUUCAAACUCUUAUACGACCCCCACUCCUACCCUCGAUCACUCCUUUCUCGAAAAAAAGUAAGAACUCUAUAAGUUUUUAAUUUUUAUCCGCUGCAUCGCAUGAAUUCCUACACUAUAUACAUUAUUACUAAACUGAAAAUAUAACUAAAAUAUCUCUAUUUCCGAUAUAGGGACAACUCAUUCUUUUUUAUACUAUUCAUGAAAAUUUAGGCAUGGAGUGAGGUUUAAUAUCUAAAUUUUUUUCGACAGCUUUCUUUAUUUAUUUAUUUAUACAGAAUCUACCUGCUACAACGCGCGGGUGCCUUCACUAGUAUAUAUAGAGUAUGGCUACUGUGCUAUUAGGAGUACAAUAGUCCUUGUGCUCCUAAGUUUCUAACUACUCAUCAAGUUUGAUGGGUGGUUAAAAUGAGAGAUGGAGGAGAUAUUGAAGAGAAAUUCAAAGAGAAGGGAAAUUGCGACACCCAAUUUCUCUUUAAUAUCUCCUCCCAUUCUCAUUUUAACCACCUAUCAAACUUGAUGGGUGUUUAGAAACUUAGGAGCACAAAGGCUACUGUGCUCCUAAUAGAAUAGUAGCCGUGCUCUAUAUUUACAUAAAUUGAAAGUAUGAUUUAAUUUUUAAUAAUUAUGCUGAUAUGUGUGAAAUUUAAGGGACCAAUAAAAAAAAGGGAAAAUUUCAAAAACCCCCCCUGUGGUUUCACACUUUUUCAUUUUAGUACCCUGUGGUUUAAAAUGUAUCAAGUUAGUACCCUGUGGUUUCUCACUUUAUCACUUUAGUACCCUGUGGUUUAAAGUGUAUCAAGUUAGUACUCUGUGGUUUUGCACUUUAUCACUUUAGUACCCUGUGGUUUAAAGUGUAUCAAGUUAGUACCCUGUGGUUUUGUACUUUAUCACUUUAGUACCCUAUGGUUUCACACUUUAUCACUUUAGUACCUUAUGGUUUAAAAAACCAUAGAAUACUAAUUUGAUACAAAAUUAAAACCACAGGGUACUAAAGUGAUAAAGUGCAAAACUACAGGGUACUAAUUUGAUACAUUUUAAACCACAUGAUAUUAAAGUGAUAAAGUGAGAAACCACAUGGUACUAACUUGAUACAUUUUAAACCACAUGGUACUAAAGUGAUAAAAAUUGAAACCACAUGGGGGAUUUUUGAAGUUUUCCCAUAUAUAUAUAUAUAUAUGGAUGUGUAUAUAAACAGUAUUAUAGAAAAUUUGAAUUUUUGAAGAAAGUUGGAAAGAAAUUAUUAUCUGCACUUGGUGUAUCUAUAGACAUCUUGCAUCGUACUAAUUUUUUAUGACUAAUUUCUUAGACUAUAGCAUGAUCAUCUAAAGGUUCUACAUGCAAAAAAUGUAUAAAAAUUCUAAAAUUUGUUACGAGGAAAUCAAAUAAUCUUAAAAAUAAAAAAUUUAGAAACAAACAUAAUUCAAUUAAUAAACAAUGACUUGGAACCGUGCACAAAUUUAAUUUAAAAGAUAUUAAAUUUUGAUGCUAAAACCAAACUCCUAUAUUUAUAUAGAAAAAAAAGAUGGUGGUUUGCGAAUUCCUACGAUUUAAAGACCACAAGAAUUAUAAAUUUCUUCCCCAUUAAAUUUUUUUUUUUUUUUUUGAGAGAAAGGUCGCAUGCUACCUGUUUCGUUUAUUUCAUUUAGAAAUAAAAUUAGUUGGAAAUGCUUCCCCAUUAAAUUUCUAAUGCAAAUUUAUGAAUGGACUUAUACACCGGGUCUAGGCAAAAGUAUCUCCAAUCUCCCGCCAUUUUCCAUUUCCCCAAUUCCUCCGCUCCUAUAAAACGCACUCCUCGAUAGCGUGCUCCCUCUUCGCGAUGCUUCUCCACUCCCUCCUCCUUAGAACCCUAACCCUAGCCCCUUUCAUCGUCCCCGAUCCUCUCCCCUCUCCUUGAGACCCAUCCGCCUCCACCGCCUCCGCGAUCUCUGCCGGGAAGCGCGAGCUCUCGGCGGCGGCUAUGGCGAUGGCGGCGGCGAUGGCGAUGGCGGCAGCGGCGGCGCUGAGCCGCGCCACUACGAUGGUGAUCGUCGCGGCGUGGUACGCCUCCAACGUCGGGAUACUCCUCCUCAACAAGUACCUCCUCAGCAACUACGGCUUCAGGUACCCGAUCUUCCUCACCCUGUGCCACAUGGCCGCGUGCUCCAUCCUCAGCUACGCCUCGGUCGCGUGGGUGGGGAUCCCGCCGCUCCAGCGCCUGCGGACGCGCGCCAGAGCCGCGAGGAUCGCCGCGCUCGGCCUCGUCUUCUGUGUCUCCGUCGUCGGCGGCAACGUCUCGCUCCGCUACAUCCCUGUCUCCUUCAACCAGGCCGUGGGCGCCACCACGCCCUUCUUCACCGCCGUCCUCUCCUACAUCUUCACCAGAAGGCGCGAGACGUGGUACACAUAUGCCGCGCUCGUCCCUGUCGUAGCUGGCGUUGUCAUCGCGAGCUGGGUUAGUGCUCUUUGAUCGCCUGAAUUUAUUAGAUUAUUUUAGUUACGUUUUACUAAUUUAGUUGGUUAGACAAAUGCUUACUUAGUGAUCUGUUCAGUAAUCGCUUUUAUGCACGCUAAUUAUAUUGUAAUAUGUUUAGAUGAAUUUAGCUAUUCUGUAUAAAUGUUAAAAUAGCAAAGAAAUGCGAAUUCCUGGAGUGCUGGGUGGUAUGUUAGGGGUCAGCUAUGCCAUUCAAGUGACUAUGCAUUAGGUGGGUGUCGAUCGAAGUUCUUAGAUGCAUCAAGAUAUUCUUUGUAACUAAGGUUGAGACAAGUGUUAGAUGCAUGAAUAGAUCUUUUUUUUUCUUUUGGUUGCUCACUGAUAUUGUAUUGUCUUGUGUUCCUCUAAUGAUGUCAGAAAUUUAAUCUGCCAUGUAACCUAAUUUAGUGCAGAAGUGUGGUGGGAAUAGAUUGUUUUACAAGUAAUGGAUCCAGAGGAAAUUGAGGUCUGCAUUUUGGAAAUAUUUAGUAGGAUUCACUGGAUUUGACUAUGAUAUAUUGAGAGUGUGGAAAUCAUUCAAGUGAAAUUAAAUGACUAAGACUUAUUAAUGUGGCCUUUCUUGUAAUUUCCAGUUGGGGCUCCCAAGGAUUUCAGGCUUUAAAUAACAAACUCCUGUUAAUAGUUUAUCCUCUUAUUUGGGCACUUUCUAGUGUAAACACGUUAUUUUUUUUUCCCCCUUUCUAAUGUAAGCACUUUCCUUUUCUUUUUUUUUCCCUUCCUGUGUGAGUAGUCUGUCUAUCCUCUUUUUUACCUCAGUUUGCAAUGUUCUAAGCUAUCUAAUUGUAACCUAGUUUUCUAGAACUACUGAAGUUAAGUUUUAGGUGCUGGAUUUUCCUAUGAAUAGAGCGAAACAUGUGGAUAUGACAAAAGAAGCAAUACCAACUGCCCCAAUUGAUCAAAAUAUUUCCAACUUCAUGUUGUUAGAUGAGAUUCCGGUAUUGAUAUGCAGAACCAGUUUGUUGGAUGCCUUUGUGCUUCUUAGGAAGGGUCCAACUAAUCAGGAUUGGUUCUAACUGUGUUUGUGUGGAUAGCUAGCAUUAUUUUCAUUUUUUUUUUUUUUAUUGCAACAAUCAGAUGGGGUCAAUUUACAUUGGUUGCAUAUCCCUUUUGCUUUUUACUUUCCAUUUCUCUGGAUUUUCAUAAUUAAACUUUAUGCUGUCAAGCUAACAUAGACUAUGGUGUAAUUGCGAGGUGAUCUUUAUAUGAAUACCCUUGCAUCGCAGGCCUAUAUAUUUUAACAUCCUUGCCUUUUGUGUUGCUAAUUGGCUGCAUAAUAGUUGUAAUUAUUAUACUAAGUUGAUAUGUAUGUUGCAAUGACACUGCUGCUUUCUUCUUGUAAGUUGAUGCAUGACUAGCCUUUUUGUAAUUUCUAUUUAUCUGUGGCAUAUGUAUCUUAGGGUGUGCUUGUUGGGAGAGAAAAACCUAGAUGAUAAGUUUUUGAUCCAAAAGAGCGGAUGAUAAUGGAGAAUAAAGUCAUUUUUGCAACUGCUUUGCACACAUCGGAGCAAUCAUAAUUGUUUCAGCGAGAAAUGUAAUGACGAGAAGGAUAGUUGGGGAUAAAGCAAGGAAAGUACUAUUCAUGGUUCCAUUAGAUUAGUAUUCGUGUCUUCCUAGAAUAUUUCAGUUUGAUCAGAGCAACUAUUCCCCUAUUCUUUUGUUUGUGCAGCAUAGUGAGGAUAACUUUUGUUAUUCCCUGUUGUUGCCAUGAAACAGUGCCUUAGUUUUCUUCUGUGGUAUUUCCAUAUUUAAUAUGUUUAUUCUUGCUCAUUAGUGAAAAUGACUCUGCAUAAUGACUAUUUAUUGUUCAAUUACAUUGGGAGACUCAAGCUUCCAGAAAAAGAAAACGACUCCGCAUAAUGACUAUAUAUUGUUCAAUUAUUUAGGGAGAGCCAAGCUUCCAUUUUUUUGGUUUCGUCAUGUGCGUAGCAGCAACUUCUGCACGGGCUCUUAAGACGGUGUUGCAAGAGAUUAUACUGUCUUCAGAGCGGUAAUGGAUGUAUUUCCACACAACAUGUAGUACAGUUGUUCUACUUUGUGAAACUUCGUACUUCAUAUUUUCUUCCAACUGUCUUGAAAUUAAUUGACUUUUUUUUUUUGCUUUUCCUUAAGUGGAGAACUGAGUUUUAUAUCCUUUAUGUACUGGUUUAUGUCUAGGGAGAAACUUGACUCUAUGAAUCUCCUCCUCUACAUGGCUCCAGUUGCUGUAAUCCUCUUGCUUCCUGCCUCAACUAUAAUUGAGGAAAAUGUGGUCAGCAUCACGAUAGCACUUGCUAGAGAAGAUUUCAAAAUUAUUUGGUACCUUCUCUUCAAUUCUUGCUUGGCAUUCAUAGUGAACUUGACCAAUUUCUUGGUUACCAAACAUACCAGCGCAUUGACUGUUCAGGUAUGAUAAGAAAUUCUAGAAUUUCCUAUUAUGUAUUCUGUUUUACAUUUUCUGAUCUAACUUUGUAGUUGGAUGGGUUAUGUUCUGUGCUUAAAAUAUGCACUUGACUAUCUGUUUGUUUACUUACUAGCAAGGAGUACCUUCUAUCUGAUAUCCCCUUCUGCAUGAGUAAGCCUGUGUUAGUAGUUCGUCUUAGAUUUCAUAAUUUAGCUGAAGAAUUAAGAUAAAAUAGAUCCUAAUCUGAUACACAUAAAUGAAAACGUGGUAUUAUUAUGCCUCAAUUAAGACAAUAAUAAACUUUGAUUUUUAAGUUUAUUUUUCCUUUACCCUUUAUGUAGUUAUUUGUCAACUCUGGUUCAAUGUUGUUAUAUAAAUGCUGAUAGGUUAUGUUGCCUUUUCGCUUAACUCUGGUGUGCUGAAUGGUUCUCAACUUUUCUUCUCCCGAAACUAUUAAGAUAAUAGCAUAUUCUUGCCAAACUAGUGGGAUUCCCAGUGGUAAGGCAUUAGUAGGAGAAAGGUUGAUGGCACAGUUCCAAGUACCAGCGGGGGUACACGCGGGUUCGGGUGUAGUGGGCUAAGAUCCCAGUUAUCUAAAUGUAUAUUCUUCUCAUGAUGCAAAAGCAUAAUUUAUAUUUGUUUUAACAAAUAUUAAGUAAACACAAUGUAUCAUUCCAUGGUUUUUCAAAAAUUAUGUCGCUGUUGUUUUAUUAUUCUUGGCCUUUUGAAAGUGGUUUAUUUUCAUAGUGUUUCUUUGCAAAGGUGUUAGCAAGAUUUUUUUUUGGAUAUAUCUCCCAUAUUAUCUUAACUUGCGAUAACUGCUAUUGUGUGAAAGAUGCUCAUAUGCGGCAAACAUGGAUAAAAAUUAUGGCCUCUGUUACUUUCUCUGAAUAUUUAUCCGAUUUGUCAUUUAUGCAUGUCUUUUGUUGGUAUUGAAACCAAGUAUGUGAAGGAUUCAUAGAACUAUUGCUUAGGUGGCAAAAACCCUACCUUCAUUCUAAUUAUUUCUUCUUUUUAACAUUUCUAUUCCUGCAACUCUUCUACACCCAAACUGCUACAUAUCUAAUAAGAUCAACUUCUCAAAUCCAACAAUUUUUUCUGUAUGUUCAUUCUUUUUUGUUUUUCAGGUUCUUGGAAAUGCUAAAGGUGCUGUCGCGGUGGUCGUCUCGAUCCUUAUUUUCAGGAAUCCUGUAUCCGCGACAGGAAUACUAGGCUAUACUCUCGCCGUCAUCGGCAUCUUCCUCUAUAGCAAAGCUAAGAAACGCAAAGACUGAGAUACUACACAUUGGAAUAUUGAAAAGGGAAAAUAAAAAGGAAAAAAAAAGAAACAGAAAACAGAGUAAAUAAACUGCCUUUUUACCUUACCAGUUUGGCAGGUCUUUGGUCAAAGCUGGAUUCGCUGUGCACCCUUUUUUUUCUUUCCGAUUGAACAGCACAUUGUUUGGGCCGGCGAGGAACAAAAAUUCUACAGAAAUCGACAGUAUACGUAUAGUGACAUUCUAACCUUCAGCUAUUACCAUACUAUUCGGUAUAGAGAAUUAGGUAUUACUCUAUUCUGUUUUACGGUUCCAUUUGGUGAUGAAUGUUCUUCGGUAUUUUCUUGUACAUGUAAUUCUUUGAAUUUCUUUACCCUCCUAUGAUUCUUCUCAAUUGUGUAUAACUUCCUUAUCAAUAUGUGCACACUGCAAUAAAUAUGGAUUCUUCUAUUAAUGAGUCCAAUACAUUUGAAUUGUCGGUAAGGUCCACAAAAUUUAGUUGGGCAUCGUUCCAGUUAUUUUGAUUUUAUACAAUUUAUUACAUGGAUACAUCAGCUGGUGGACUUUUCUAUUCUUGUUAUUGUUUGUCAGUUUCUGAUGCGCUGUAGCCAAAUAUAGAUGAUACCUUCAAAAUAUAAGAACAGAAAACAAAAAAAAGUGGUAUAGUUAUGUAGAGUGAGGCUAUUAUGCUAUCGGAAGUAUGGAGCCUUUCGUGUUUCCAGUUUUUUUUCGAUGUUGCAACUUUCGAAUUGUCGAUUGGUUCCAUUAAAUUUGAUCUAGAGUAUUUGGAGUACCUAAAAAAUAAAUUUUAUUAUUUUUCGAUAUUAUUUGCCUAGUGAUCAAAAGGGCUCAAAAUCAAUAAAUUUCAAUGGCCGUAGUGAAUCGUUUGCAAGUUUAACGGUGUAAAAAUAUCCAAAUCAUGUGAAAUUUUGAUAGAAAAUUCUUUAUACUAUAUAAAAUAAGAUCAAUAUCUUUGAUUUAAAAUUUUAAUGUCAUAUUAUUACAUUUUGUAAGAUUUUUAUUUUCAGCCGUUGAUUUUGAGCCUCUUCGUUCACUAGGCAAAUGAUAUCAUAAAAUCAUAAAAUUUAUUUUCUAGGUACUUCAAAUACUUUAGAUCAAGUUUAACGGAGCCGAUCGACGAUUUGAAAGUCGCAACAUCGAAAACGAGUUGGAAGCACGGAAGGCUCCGUGCUUCCGAUAGUAUAGUAGCCUCACUCUAGUUAUGUAUAUU